Molecule: long non-coding RNA, 55331 nt
Filed under: Brachypodium distachyon (stiff brome)
Lineage: Eukaryota; Viridiplantae; Streptophyta; Magnoliopsida; Poales; Poaceae
Description: long non-coding RNA (BDIS_LNC000404)
Rfam family: MIR1120/MIR1122 microRNA precursor family (bases 8584-8718)
Source: RNAcentral
GAUUUCAUGUUUGCUUCAUACUUAUUUUAAUUAAUAAUCUACGUAUUAAUAGAAUAUAUAGUAUUCAUAUAGAAUAAGAAUAAAAAUGAAGACAAUAAAUCGGAGAUUCUUUCUUUCUCUUCCAUUCUUACGUUUCCAUAUUAAAGUAUAGUUUUCUUACUUAAAUUUAAUAAUAUUAAUCUAAUAUGCCCAUUGGUGUUCCAAAAGUACCUUACCAGAUUCCCGGAGAUGAAGAAGCGACUUGGGUUGACUUAUACAAUGUUAUGUAUCGAGAAAGGACACUUUUUUUAGGUCAAGAGAUUCGUUGCGAGAUCACGAAUCAUAUUACAGGUCUCAUGGAUCAUUCAAACGUUAAUUUUUAAUUACAAAUAUGACUUAGAAGAUAAUCCAUUGUGUAACAUACGUUAUUAUGUUUUAUAAAUAAAUGACGUGGAACGCAUAAAAGUGUACAAGUCAUUCAUAACUUGAACAUCCGAUUGUGCUGCUAGGUGUUCAACUGUUCAUCGUCUCUGCUUUCUCCCGCUUACUUAAACCAAGGAUGGCGGUGUUGUCUCCUAUGGAACUGAUCCAAUGAAUAUUAACGCUGAAUUUGGUAUCAAGGUAAAUUAUCAUAAUCUGGUUUGUUCAAAACAGUAAAUCUCCGUUUUCCUAACCAUUUUAUUUUCAGUUUUCAUGUGUGUUUCUGUGCGGCAUUUUACAAACUAAAUUUAACACAGCACAUUCCAGCAAAACCGCAAAAUAAACUAAUAUUUAUUCAUAUGAACGGAGGGAGUAUUUAACAGUGUUAGAUGCCCGAUAAUUGAAGUAACAAAACUUGUCAUGACACGAUUCAUGUAAGCAAUGAUUUAUGUGUCCACACUUCAUUACUAAAAACCCCUCUCAUAUAAGAACAUAAAAAAACAAUUAAGAGGCCUAUUGUGCAAUCUCCGUGUAAUCCACUACACAAGGUCGCUAAGAAUUGAAUGUUUUCUUAUGAACGUCUUCAAAUUCAUAAGAUAUUGUUAGAAGUAACAAAGAAGAGAGAGUUUCCUUGUCAUAAUUCUCUUUUUCUGCUACUUCUUACUUUCAUCACAUUUCAAUAUUUAAUUUUAAACAUCUGUCUGGUAUGCUUAGGAGACUUUCAGGUACGUUUUAAGAGACUUUCGUUCCCUUUGUACAAGCGUCCGCAGCGAUUGUACGGAAAGGGUUGUUUGCACAUGACAGGCCUAGUAACCCAGUAGUUUAACAGUUUCUAUAGUACAAGAACAAAUGCAUUAUGAAUUUCUGAUGGGAAUGGCCAACAAACUGCAUGCAUCCACACACCUUCAAAAAUUGAAUAAGCACGAGGAGAAAAACAAUGAAAUUAAAGAAUCAUAUAUGCGCAUCAAUAUCCCAACAACUUAUCCCCAAAAGCAAAAUAUAGCAUAUGGAGCAAAAAAGAAUAAUUAACAACAAAUUUGAGCGAGAGAUAUCCCAAAUCAGUUAGUUAAUCCAUGGGCAUGGCGUGAGCCGAAAACGACUGGGGUAGGUUCAUAUAUGCAUAUAUUUAGUUAUAUGCUCCGAAGCUGCUCGUGUAAAUGCUGAUCUUGUGCAUGAAUUGAUCAGUGAGCUCGGCUUUUUACGAUGUCGAGGCUCAUCUCACUGGGGUCGGUGGCCUGGAUUUCACACUGGAUGCCGUCCAUCUCCCUCCUGAACCUGUCCUUGGAGCUUGCAUAAAGCAUCUUGCUCCUUGUUCUUGCUGUGUCAGGAGACCUACAUUGUAAAAAGGAAGGAAAUGCUCCAUCAUUCUUAAGUGAAGGCACAUAUAAAGGUUCAUGCUAUUAAAUUCUACGCGUGUGAUGGCGUAUACAAAGGAGUGAAUGGUACUAAAAUGAUACGGAGUAUGAAAAAUGCUGUUAGCUAGGUAUAAUACCAAGGUAACAUGAGCCCCAAUUAAUCAAUCUCCUGUAAGGCUGUAACCGUGCAUGCUUUGCUUAUUUCAAUGCAGCUACUGAAAGGAAGUUCCAGAACGUCCAUUAAUCUCUAUCGGAAAACAUGAGUAAAAUUAGUGAACUAUGUUAUUGAUUCAAGAAUAUAUAUUCUGAUUUCACAUUUCAUGCCUCGAUUGUAUCAUAUGUUCUCAGCACAGUAAGAUGUUCAUAUGCAACUUGGCUCAUAGAGCAAGCAAGUUAAACAUCCGAAUAUCUAAAAGUAGUCCAAUCAAAGAGGUUUAUCAUAAUGCACACAUCAAUGUCAAACACGGACAGUUGGAUCUAAAUGGUGUUCAGAAGGGGCCAGGUUGAAUGAAUACACCCGUUUUCCAAACUAUAAACUUUAAAUGGCAUUUAUAUAUCUGUGUGUCGCGUUGCUAAGAUAUUUCAGGGAUUGUGCAAUAGGUAAUGGUCUGUAAAACUUCGCAAUGACGUUUAUCCAGACGCCUGCAGUAAUGUUGCAGAAUAAACAAUUGUUUAAAACUGACAAAUUGUGAAUCAUAAUCAGUUUCUUGACAGGAUUUAUGAUUCACAAUUUGUCAUUUUACAUAUAGUUUUAGAAUGUACACUUUUAACAUAUUGUUUUAGAAUGUACACAUUCAUUUAAAAAUAAUAACGUUAAUGUAUGAAAAUUUAUAUUUUAUUUAUUGUGUGAAAUGAUUCACUAGACGUAGACCUGCCUAAAAUUAUCAUUUUUCAUUAGUACUUUUUACUAAUGUGUUAUUAAUUAGAAAAUAAUGGCAAACAACUAAAAAAACGUGUACUGGAGAUUGCUGUUUGAAAGAUAAGAAGGAAUGAUGGAUGCAGUGUCAUUUUACCGCACAAUUGACAAGGCUAGCUAGCUAGGAGUUGCAAUGAAAGAAAGCACAAUCGCAAUCAUAUUAGUUCAUUCUAUGUCCACUUUACAUAUUGUUUUAGAAUGUAUGGGUUAAUUUGAUAUAUACCACCGCAAUUUUUCUCUGUAUUUAAAAAACACUACUGCCAUUUUCAUCUUCAAAAAGUGCCACUGCAGAUUCUUUGAAAAAUGCCACUACAAUGAUAUUUUUUGAAUUCACAAGCACUGCAGUGGUAUAUACCAAAUUAACCCUUCGUUUAAAAGCAAUAGCCUUAAUGUAGAUAAAGUUAUGUUUAAUUUAUGGUGGGAAAUGCUGUCGCUAAAAUUAAUUAUGUCUCAUUAAUACACAAUUAAUCAUGUCUUAUUGGUGUCAUUUUGCCACCCAUUUGACGGAAAAGGCUAGCUAGCUAGGUGUUUCAAUGAAAGAAAGCAUGCAUAGUCGCAAUAAAAAAAAGGGAAGGCCACACGCAUGUACCAGGAGAAGAAGAAGAUCUUGCUCUUCUGGCAGUUCUCGUCGGUGACGAAGUCGAGAUCAUAGACGGCGUAGCGACACUCGUCGGCGGGGAGGCUGUUGGUGAAUUCUUCGUAGCCGUGGCUGGUCUCGCCAAGACGCUCCACCUUGAUCUCCAUCGCCUUGUCGUCGAUCUUGAACACGAUGAACCUGAAGCCCCUCUUUGUCUUGAGCUCCGAGAACUUGAUCUUGCACUCAUCGUUCACCGCAAGACCAGAUGCAGAGUUGGCCUACAAUUAACAAUUAAUCCACUCAUAUAUGCACAUUCAUUGAUCAAGAGCCAGUGCAUGCAUUACUUUGCAACCUAUGGAGAUUAGAAAGAGAGACAGCUAGAUAGAUAGAUUAGAUAGCGAGGGAUCGAUUUAGGGAGAGAUCACCAUUUCUGUAUGUUGGCUUCAAAGACCCUGCACAAUGCGGGAGAUCGAAAUGGAGCUUGGAGGGAGAUAAGGGAGGGAGGUGUUAGUUUGCAAGGAAAGGGGAGGAAGGAAAAGUUUGUGCGCGAGAGGAAUGCGGUGGGGAGGAGCGAGAGACAAGGGAAGGCGAGUGAAAAAUAGCCAACCACUCAGUUUGAGGCCCAUGCAUACAAUUCUUGGAGGCUACGAACAUUUGACUUGGUCCCUAGCUCGUUGGUGCUUAACAAAAUAUAAAUCACUUCUUAAUUUCUUGCCACCUUAGUGCACUUUAGACAUAUUCGUGCAUUCAAAUAUCAUCUAAGAACUUACAAAAACAAUACUCCUUCCGAUUCAUAAAAAAUGUAUACAAAUUCUGUAUUAAGUUGAUGACAUUUUUUAUGAAUCGGAGGACACUUGACCUUGUGUCACCCCCGUGGGCCAUGCUAGCUAGAGGUCAAACCCUAGGGCUCCAUCGCGCUAGUUCGCCAUCAUCUGUGUGUAGGAGGAGGGCUAUUUGGCUUGCACAUUGCUCCUUGGCGCUAUAUGUCUGGCUGUGUGGGAUCCUUUCUUGUUUCGAUGGCGUACGCUGAUCGAUUGGAUGCGGCUACACAUGUAACAAUGUUCGAUUCCGAUCUCGAGGAUUGGUUGAUGGAGUUCUAGGUCAGCUUCGAAACCCGAGUGCAGGUAUUCAGUGGCGGUGGUUGGCGUUGGGGUGCUGUGGAGGCCGGAGGCUUUGCAUGAAGCGACAGUUAUUAGGGCUUAAUCUGUGGUGCUCCUCGAAGGAUCUGGGUGACUGGGUAGACUAUGGUUCACACAUGGCGGCAAUCACCUAAUAGCGCAACGUGGCAGGUCUAUGGUGGUCAACUAGGUAGCGACACAUUGCAAGAGGCUGGUCAGUUGGAGCUGCUUUGGGUGCGGAUCCAAGGUGGGUCAAUGGCCCAAUUUGGUCCUGAUGGAGCUUUUGGAUCGCUCCCCAUCGGUUCCAUUCACGGGAGCAAAUAUGCUUUCUUGCUUUCUCCUCUAUUCUAGCGCGGUCGUACCUUUUCAGUUUUCUCGUGGGAUCAUGGCAUGUUUAUUUUUUCUGUUCAGGUCUGUGGACGACUAGCAUGCAUGGUGAUUUACAUGAGUACGUGCAUGGCUGGUAGAGAAGGAGGGUAAUGUCAUUGGUAAAGACGGCAACGGGGCGGGUCUGGACGGGGUCAACCAAAUCCAUAUCCAUCCACAAAAAAUAUCCGUUGAUGCAAAACAAUAUCCACAUCCAUAUCCACAAGGUGUCCGGGUAUCUAUGGAUUAUCCAUAUCCAUGCAAUAUACAUCAUAUACGGAAGCAUAUGCAUCAUCAUAUACAACAGCAUAUACAUGAGUAUACAACAACAGUAGGAUAGCUAACUAAUAGACCCACAUAUCAGGGGUGGGAGUGUGGGACUGAGGGAGAGGAGGGAGUCAGGGUUAGGGUUUGAGUGGGAAAGAGACUAUUUAUAUGACGGAUAUAGCUAACUAAUGGACCCACAUAUCAGUAAUUUAUUUAUUUUAAUAAAUACCGGAUAUCCAUGGAUAUCCAUGAAUCAAAUGUGAUAUUCAUGCCCGUUUCACGAGUUGGCGGUAUCCAUUCGUGGAUAUGCAUGGAUCGAAAACCCGCUCCAUACCCGCAAAUCCAUGGAAUGGAUAUCCAUGUACAUCCACAUUUUGAGGAUUCAUUGCCAUCUUGAGCCAUUGGCAGACAGGGAUGGAUCCAAGGGGAGGGGGGGGGGGGGGCUCCGCCCCCCCUAAGAAAUUUCAUUUUAGUUAAUACUUACUAAUCAACUCAUUAAAAAUCACUUUAAAAUAGGUGAAGACUCUAAUUUCGCCCCCCUCAUGUCAAAUUCCUGGCUCCGUCCCUGUUGGCAGAUUCAAUAGCUAAAUAGUGUUUUUUCCCAAUGAAAGUCCAUGGUCUAGUUUUCAUGGUCUAGAUCAAACAACAUUGACAUAUUGCAUUAUACCUUUUUGUUGAAUGGGUGUUGACACAACAAGCUUGAGCGGAGGUCACUUUUUGAAGUAGGGAUGUCAACGGCGCAGUAAAUUGCGCCGCCAAGCCCGCUUAUCUAACUCCCUUAGAGUUUUUAGUUUUAGUUUUUUCUUUUUUGCUAUCAAAGGCUGAUGUGGGCAGGGCUAAACGGGCUCUAACCGGCGGCCGUUUACAUCCCUAUCUUUUUUUUUUGACGGAACCUCGUCAAGAGGGCAGGGUGCUCCUGCAUUUCAUUAAGAAGAAUAGAAUGGCUCCGUUUAUUUUGGAAAACUGAGCCGAAAACCACACAAUGCACGGCUUAUUCAAGGAAAGCCGUGCGAAAACCCUAACAUCGAGCAUUACAAAACAAAACCGACAUACAAGUCACAACUGCAAAAACGAACCGCCACCUGCUCCAACGACGCCGGACAGGGAACAACUCCUAAACGCCAGAAGAAGGUAGGCAGAGCUAGGCUUCUCCAAUGACCGGAACAAAGAAGAGGUUGCCUUGACAUGUGCAGCUCAUGAAUCGGCGAGCCCGUGCUACUCGAUGCCGCAAUUCCUGGCAGGCCUCAGCUAGGCUCAAUGCAGGAAAUGCCCUGCCGCUAGACGAAGGCUCCAAAGGCAACGCCUUCAAGGAGGGUACGACAUCCGAAGACGCCGCCAUUGCCUGGUCCAGAAAACUGGAUCUGAGCUUUCGCUCGGAGACACCUCGACUGCCAGUUUACAUUCCUUUCUUGAAGGCUCUCAUUUGGAGUACCAUGUUCUCGUCUAAUUACUUCCUCGAUGUUGUGCUAGUGAAUAUUAUUUCCGGUGUUAAAAUAUAGUAGGAGGUACGUAACUGACGCCAGGCUAAUUUCCAAAGAGGAUGGCCUGCCGUAUAUUUUCUUUUAUUUUUCCAUCUUGAUGCUUGGGUGCUUUUACUGUAAAAUCAUGGUUGUAUGCAUUAGCUAGGAUGGAGAGGCGGGGAGGUUCACCUCCCUUUUGAAAAAAACAAAAGGUUAAGGACUUAUUCGGUUUACAAGAUUUUGAAAUCACAAGAAUUAAAAUUACGACCAAUUUAGGCAUAAUCCUUAGAAAGGUUACAUCUGUAUACAUAGCAAAAAGAUCCUAAAGAUCUUUAAAAAAAUCAUCCAAAACACCUACAGAUCCUUAAGUAUAUGAACUUCACAUAGGUGCUCAAUGACUAUGGAUGUAUUCUCUCAACCACGAAACCAGAAAAAUACAUUGGUGUCAUUGCAUAUUAUUACAAGUAUUUCUCUAUUUAUAAAAAGAUUAAAGAAACCAUUGGUGUUAUUUGACACCAAUAAUUAUAUGCUGGCUACGCCCCCUAAAGAAACCAUUGGUGUUAUUUGACACCAAUAAUUAUAUGCUGGCUACGCCCCUGCUCUCAAUUUAAGCACUUACAUCUACGCCUUGUCUAAUGAAUUAUUUUGUACAAGGAAAAGGGAACAUGGUCCAUCCAUAUGCAAAAAUCUUUGUGUACAACCACUCGUACAAAUUUAGUCUCUCUCCAGGUUACUCCUUUACAAGAGAGAGAGUACUAGAGCACUAUGCAGUGUUGGUCAAAACCCAUAACUAAGAAGGGCCUAAGAAGCUUUAGAACCGGAUCUAGCCACUGCAGCAAGCUGCGCUAAGAAAAUUUCCAAGAUCGGGCGCAAGUACUUACCACGGCAAUGGAGCUUGUGGCGCUCAUGUAGGGAUAGGUAGCUGAUGCAGUGGUGAAAGUGAAAACUUGGAUUGUUUUGUUGUGCUGCCGGUUCUUCAUAUACUUGUUGGUCGGAUGAUGGUUGUUGGGUGUGUUGUUUGCUUGUAUCGCUGGUAACCCAGCUGAAUCUCCGGGCUUUCUAAUAAAACCGGGCUGAAAAAGCCUUUUUUCUAAAAAAAAGUACUUACCACGGCUCCAGGUAAAUAUAAAACUAUUGUUGACGACUUUGGUGGGGUCAACCAAAGCUGUAUUGAGCAAUAUAUAUGUACACAUACACAGAGAGCUCACAAACGACACAUCAAAAUGGCUGAGGUUUUCAAGCUCAGUUUCCUUGUUUUGUUUUCUGCAUAUAUGUGCUACCAUGUAUUUUUUUCUCCUGACUUUAAUACAAGCGCAGUAGGAGCCUGCUGUUUUCCCUUGUAAAAAAAAACAACACAUCAAAAACAAAUGAAGCCCAAUCAUUCAUCAAAUGGAGAGAAGUGCAGUUCCAAAAAAUAAAAAUAGCCUAUACCAACAACACCUCCAAGCUGCUGCCAUGAACCUGUUUGCAUCCUCUCAAUAUCCCUCCAAUCUGCAUCCUCACCAUCCAAGCAUCAAUCCCUUUGGUCAGCACCGCCAGCUCCCUGCAUACAACCAAGGGAACAUGCAAGUUCCAUACCAAACCAGUCCAGGCCACCCACACCUACCUACGGAGUCCAGCGGCUUAUUUGGAGCUUAUGGAGCAGGCAUUUCAGCAUCACCGUUCAAAUCCGGCACCUUCUUUGAGGGCUACGGAGCAGGCCUUUCAUUGUUGCCGGUCGAUUCCGCAUCUCCAAUGUCUGCAGCACAAAGGAACAUACAACAUGAAGUGGAACAUGAAGAAAGCAAAGAUAGCAGUCCAGAUCAAGAAAUAAGAAGAGGUCACAGUAAUUGGACAAAAAAAGGAGAACGAGAGAUUGAUCAACUCUUAGAUUAAAAAUUCCGUUGAUUCAAUUGAAGGCAAUGGAAAGAGAGGUGAUUAUUAUUGGAAGCAAGUAGCAGAGGAGCACACAAACAAGUGCCCUCCGCGAGAGAAAGCCUUUACUUUUAGUGGGUUGGUUUAGUUUGUGGUCUGGCUUGGAGCAGAAAAUAAGAUCAACUUUGCGAUGGACAAAAUAAGACAUGUUUCAAGCACGACAAUCAUGCAAAUAGCUAAAGAUGUGGAUUCAAGAAAGGAUGAGCAAAAUAAGAUACUUCCUCCGUCCAACAAAAGAUGUUUCAACUUUGACUAAAUUUGAAUGCAUCUAUACACUAAGUCAUGUCUAGAUACAUUCAAGUUUUGACAAACUUGAGACAUCUUUGUUGGAUGGAGGGAGUAUGUUGUUUUCUGAAGAAAAUUUAAAUGAAGGACGCGAUCCAUAAAUAACAUGAUGGGAUCCCAUAUUCUCAAUUUCUCAACAUAGUUGAUGCAUCACUGAUUACCCACAAUAAACGAGAGACAAAAUAAGGUUUUCAUUGUCCUUAUAGCCACUGGCAGGCACAACACACCAACCUAAAUACAGAAUAUUGCAUUAGCACACAUGAUUUGCUUAUAUUUUUUUUUUCUUACAGAAAACAUACUACUACUACCAACGCAAAAGAAAGCAAGAGAAUACAGAAAGAGGUAAAUGGGAACCAAAAACAUGAAUGUGUUAGGAAGAAAUGGAAGAAACAGACUUUUGUUAUCUCUUUAAAUGGUUCUGAAUUGUCCCUGUAUGAGAAUAAUGAAACAAAAGGCCAUAUGGUCCUAAAAUCAUAUAAGCUUCUUAAUCUUAUAGACCUUUUAGUUAGGAGAUAAUCACUUAUCGACCUCACAGAUCUGGAAAAGGCACCAUGGUUAUGGCAAGAGCAUUCCCGAGGUCAUUUGUUCUAGUGUGCUACAGCCAAAAAACGGCAAUUGCUAGUACAUGAAUUACACGAAAAGUGACUCCUGCAGAAGAGAUCAAUUGAUAAAAAAAAACCAAAGACAAAAUUCUGAUUAAUUAACUAAAAGCUAUGUACAUCAGAACCUGAAAUUAGAAACACAAACAAAAAUGGCAUGUACUCCCUCCGUUUCUAAAUAUAAGAAGUCCCAGCUUUGUUCUAAGUCAAACUUCUUAAGGUUUGACCAAGUUUUUAGAAAAAUCUACCAACAUUUAGAACUUCAAUUAGUUUUAUUAAAUUUGCCAUUAUAUAUAUUUUCAUAGUAACUCAUUUGAUAUUGUAGAUCUUGGUAAAUGUUUCUAGAAAGUUGGACAAAUUUUAAGAACUUUGACUUAAGACAAAGUUAGGACUUAUAUUUAGGAACGGAGGGAGUAGAAGUUUGGCAAAAUUCUGAAGAAAUCUACACUAGAACAGUAUGGGAUGAAGUAUACAUGCGAAUUUUGGAUUAAAAUAUGAUUGUGUGCAAAAAAAACAAAAUGGGCUUCUGCUAUAGUGGUAAACCUUGAACAGUAAAUUAUCUUUUUUCUUAAGGUUGUAAAUGCUUUAUUUGUUAACCAAAAUUUACGGGUACAAACUUGACCCCAUAGUGUAGAUCUACCGAUGUUUUCAAGAACUUCUAUGUGUCAUUUUAGUUCCCCACAAUUUGAGUACAGCGAACCUCAGGAUCAGAUUAUUAUGUUGCCUGUAACAACAGGCUUGGCAUAUUGAUGACCAAAAGGAAGUACUCAGUGAUCAGCAAGUGGAUAAGUGCCGCAACACAGUAGGCCACCAUCCUUGAUCUGCAGUGAGGAAUUUACCCCUGAUUUGUCUAGAGGAGAAGAGGUUCCGCUCCCUGUUGCAACGCCUUUCCUUCUGCCUCCGCCUUCUGCAGCUAAGCCCGAAUCUGGUUUAGUAAAAAUCAAGUGAAUAGUUAGAUGUACUAAUAUAGUCACCACCGUUGAACGGAACAAAACUUCAGAAUAUCGUUUUCAGUGGAUCAUAAAGAUUCAUAGGUUCAAGUCAAGUCACCUGCUGCCUGGAUUCCCAUCAAACACCCUAGUUGCCACAGAUACGAAAAAUCUGCACAUACAAACAUGCAUGUGAUCUGCCUGGAUUUUCAUCAAAUGCCUUGUCGACAUAGAUUAAAAGAAAUGCACAACCACCAUACAAAUGUACGUUAUUGUGACAAACUGAGAAUUGCCGCAUAAAUAAAAGGAAAGUUCAAUUCGUAAUGGAAACCGAAAGAAAGAUAAAUCCGUAAUGGAGCAUGGAUCAGAACUUCUCACAACUAAAUGAGCUGGAGGCAUGCUCAAGAGGCAUACGUAAAAACAGUUAGAAUCUAAUAUUGGUUGAUACAAAAUAAUAUUAGCAUUCAAGCAUUUCGAAGUGUUUGAAUAGACACGGUGCCUACAAGUUGAGGUUAUGGUCCUUAUCAAUUCAAUAAACAAUCGCUCCACAAUACAAACAUCAGUUCUACAGGCAUAUCAGUCUACAAUGCUAAACAAUGCCGUGAAGUACUUAGCUAUCAACAAUGUACCAUGACAAGAAUUUAGGAACGGAUGAAGUAAUUAUUAUAUUUAAAAUGAUUUGCGUCUACUAAAAGGAAAACCUGCACUGAACCCAACCCUGCAUCUUUUAGUUCAUUCAUUUGUUGAUAGCUACAACCAUUACAUGUUCAGAACUGGGGUUAGCAAUAAAAGAAUGAUUGUUUCCUUAGGCACAAUUUGAGAAGAAACUUCAGAGAAAGCUAACCAAAAGCAAAUGGCAAUUUACAUUGAUGAAGUUGUGCUACCGAGGAGAGUAUAAAAAAAUCGAUAGGUAUGUCAUACCUCAAGCGCUCUUUAAUUCUUUAUAACAUAGAACAAUAUUCAUAUCAUUUUCAGAGUUCGCACAUUAGAAGGAAUAAAAUGGGUGCCAUAUUAGACAAAGAGGAGCAGAAGAAACCUUCUGACGUGCUUCACUGCACCCAUCAGAAUAGAGUGGCACGAGAUAUAUUAAUUUCACCUGCAACAGUAGAGCAAACUGAAGAGUUUUACCAUUUGCUAAGGUGAUGCAGAAAUAAAAAACAAUGCAAUUACUACCAGAAUACCUUGUUGACCUGUCCAGAAACACUCUUAGUGAAUGCCAUAAGUUACAAAUAAUUUACAGAAGGGAGCAACCUGUAAAGGAGAUCUCUCCACUUGCAUUAGUUGUUGACUUGUUGUUUGCAGGAAUUCUUUUGCUAUAGCGCAUGGAGUGUCCGCACAGUGAAAUUAUGAAACAUACUCUAAUCAAGCAUAAAUUAAUUCCUCGAGAAUCUUACAAGUGCCGAGCAAAUUUCUUUAUCCCCACGUAAACUACCAAAGCAAGAACCGGAAAAAAAAACAAAAUUCUAAUACAAAAAAUUAUUCAGCACUUCUAAUGGAAGAUGAUCUCAUCGAAUGACCUUAGCAAGGGCUCAACCACAUGAUGCAAAACUGUCCGGCUUUGGUAUUGAGAACUAGACUUCCCAAGGAUCAAGCCUAAAGGUCCGGUAGCCAUACACUUUGUGUGCAAUGGAGCCCAACAAAAACAACCAUUGUAAGGAUUGGAAGCUCGGAUGAUCAAUUUCCUUUCGGGUGUUGUUUGCCCUGACCGACUACCCAUCUGUCCAAAUCUUCAAAUCGAUCGAUUCCUGCUCUCUGCCAGCUGGCAUAGAUUUUCUCUUUCGUCAAUUUGGAUGCUCCGCGAUUCCACUCUUCGGCAGAUUUUUCUCUAGGUCAGAAUCACGGAAAUAAGAAAAAGUGCUUUAUGCAUGAACCAUUGUCCGGAGAACACAAGAAUAUGCAUGAACUCAUUUAGCAUUUUUAUUGUUGAACACACAACAAGAAAAAACAAACUAUUAAAAAGAAUAUGACUUCUUAUUAACUUGAAUAUAACCUGACCUGUCCUAUCAAAAUAAAUGUAUGUAACUAUCUACACAACUUGGAAGCACUGACCUUAAUAUUGCAGAAAGUGCUCCUUUCAAGUUUCAACUGCUGUGAAUUUGCUGACCACUAUUGUCCAUCCUGGAAUUUUGGCAAUGUACAGUAAACCACUGGACACAUUGCAAUUCGCAAGUAUGAUUCUUGCACUGAAAGGUUUUCUUCAUUUUUCUACUUUUUCUCCAGACAAAUAUAACAACAUAUGAUUUGGCACGGAAACACAAACAGCAUACCUGACUGCCUAAGUGAAAAAGUCAUCAGUGGGACUUCCCUGUCUUGCCUUGGCAUUCAAUAGCACUUGGCGGACCGACUCACUUGUUUGUACACCAGCACGCACCAUGUCAUCAAUCAGAGCUUCAGCUUCCGAACAUUUACCGUCAUUGCAAAGAAUACGGAUUGUCAGGCCAUAACUAGCGGAAUUUGGAACAAAGCCCUUUUUCCUCAUCUCCAUAAUUAAUUUCAUAGCCUUGUAAGAGCUUCCUUCUCGUCCAUAGCCAUAAAUCAACAUGUCAUAGAUGACAUUGCCCACCUGAAGACCUUUCUCGCCUAUUGACUGGAACAAUUUUCUGGCAUCCUUCAUGUUCCCUUCCAUGCAGAGAGCAUGCACCAAAACACCGUAAGUGCGCACAUCCACCUCUAAACCAGCCUUCUCCAUCCCUGCAAACAUCUCAAAAGCCUUGUCCAUGUCAUUCUCCCGAGCAAAUGCAUCAAUCAGUAUGGUGUACGUCACUUUUGUGGGUGCCAAUCCUCGCUCCUUCAUGUCAGAGAAAGCCCUGUUUGCACGGAUCAUAUCUCUAGCACGACAGAACCCGGCAAUAAGAGCAUUAUACGUGACAGCACUGGGUUGAUACCCAGCCAUCCUCAUUUGGUUGGAGAAAUGCAAAGCAUUGGACAUCUUCCCAGCUUUGCCAUAUCCAUCGACAAGAAGGUUGAACGUCACGACACUUGGACGGAUACCCUCUCUUCGCAUCAAUUCCAGCAGCUGGGUGGCAUCCUUCAUCUUUCUAUAUCUGCAUAGCCCAGCAAUGAGAGUGUUAUAGCUGACAACAUUGCGUGUGAUACCCUUUGCAGGCAUUUCUUCAAACAGGAGGCGGGCACGCUCAAAUUCCCCAGUCCUGCACCACUCACCAACCAAAAUGUUGUAGGUGUAGAGAUUUGGCUCAAUUCCACCUAUCCGCAUCUUCUCAAACAAGGCCAAGCCCUUCUCUCUGCGUCCAUGGAUGAAGUAACCGUGGAUCAGAGCAGUGAAAGUGACCUCGUUAGGGGUCAAUCCCAAGCGCGGCAUUACGUCGAACACCCUCUGUGCUUCCGCCACGUCGCCGCUCCUGCAGUAGCCGUGGACGAGCGCUGUGCACGCGGCCACGUCCAGCGUCGUGUCGCCCGCCUUUGCGCCACGGGCGAGCAAAGCGAGGGCCGAUCGCACCUCGCCGGCGGCGGAGAGACGGCGCACGGCUACGGCUGUGGUCGCUGCCAUGGGGGGGAGAUUCACCUUUUCCUGCCCUUUUCUGAAGUUUGGCUUGGUUCUGGUAAGAUCUCUCUCCCGGUAACCCUGAGUCAGCAAGCACCCAGGCGACAAGAACACUGCAAACCUUCACGAGGCUGCGAUGUGAUCGAGCAGUUCUUAAUCUCUCAUCUCAUUUCAUCAGUAAGGAAGGGGGAAAACGCACCUACAACAACGCCACCGCGCCCGUGGUAGUUGCGUCCGUGGUAGGUAGGCUCGCGAAAACAACAACCGCGCGCUAUCCCCACGCGUGAUCACUGCCGCGAUUAACUCCAACUCUCCCGAUGAUUUCCAAUCCCGCAAUUAUCUCCGCAACCAAAAUUACAACAAUGCCACCGCGCACGAGCACGAUCGAUAUGCUCCCCCGACCGAGGUGGCAAUUGGCAACUUUCGUGCGCCACCGUUCUCCCUUCACCGCACCAAAUCCUCCCUAGCGGCCUAGCGGCGAACGAAGAUGACGGCUGCUGCUGCCUGUUGGCCACAGCCGAGGCCGCGUUCGGCAGGGGCGGGACCGGGCCACUGGUCAUCGGCAGCGUCCCUCGCGCACACGCCUUCGGCCGCUCCUCCUCUCACACAAAGCAACGGCGGACAACGACGACAAUGGCCGCCGCCGCCCCCUGUUGGCCAACGUCGAGGACGCGCUCGGCGGGGAACAGCACCGGGCUUCGGUCCGUCAUCGGCUUCCCUCGAGCGGCCUUCAUCAGCGUAUGGUGAUGCACCUCCCUCCUCGUAUCGGUCCGCCCCCGCGCUCUCGCCCCUCUCACCCCGCGCGCCGCUCCUUCUCUCCCCGCCUCUGUGCACCCGCUACUUCAGCUUCCACCUCUGAACGCCCACCACGGAGCUCGCCGCCCCGACAGGCAUGGCCAACACGGACGCCGUCCUCCGCUCCCUCUCCGUCCCUGCCUCCCGUCUUCCCGAUCUGCGUGGGCGUGGAGAGCUUCCUCCUCUGCGGAUCCAGCCGCCCCGACCGGCAGGGCCACCACCAGCCGCCGCCGGCCAUCCUGGAAGAUCUACUGCUGCCAAAUUUGUUGAUGCAAAUCGGUUUCUAGGUCCUUCAGAAGAUAUGUAUCAGGAGAAGAAGGCAUUAUACAAGCUAAUUUCAGGAUUGCACUCCUCAAUUUCUGUACACAUUGCUUAUUACGGUUAUAUUCUAGACGAAUCUGCUAACUUGGUGUCUACCCACCACCGUACAACGUCCUGUUCAUAGUGCAAUUAUGGACUGAAGAUUUUGUUUUCUGUUGAUGGAGAGAACAAUUUGAAUCAACAGGUAUGGUGUUCUUAUCUCUUUGGGCUACCGCCAGUUUGCAACACAAAGUAAGAUAGGGUAGAUGCCGUGCGUUUGGUUGGUCCAUGUUCCAGCUUGAGAGCAUUCCCCAACAUUUUGCCUUUAUAUGACCCAAGUUACCUGCACAUGAUGCUUUCCCAUAUUGGUUACCUACAAUUUGCUGUGGAAUAACAUCUUUCUUAAAAAAGAACUCUGGCUCCUAUGUGAAUAUUGAAUAAAUCAAAUUAUGGAAGUUAGCUCACGUGAGAGAAAAAAACACUUACGUCUCUUUGAGUGUUUGUUUCUCUGAAACUAUCUGAAUCUACCUUUUGAAUUCAUUUAAGAUGUUCACAGUGCUGAUUUGUCUUACAAUUUUUCUUCUUGGUUAUUAUUCAGUUCCGUCUGCAGCUAAACGAGGUCAUUGCACUGGUAAAUCUUCUGAACGGGCUGUUAGAAUCUGUCAAAUUUGCGUACAUGAAAAAUGACCAUCCACCGACGAAGGAAUUAACCUGAAUCUCAACCGUAAGUGUUACCUCUUGCUCAUCAGUGGUAUUGAACUAUUGAUUUGUGUUGACCACUUGAUGUCUGCUCGUAUCCUUGCAUUCUUUCGUCUAUUUGAAUGAGCAUUCUUUCUUAUCAAACUGUGUGAGCUAAGGUUUUUCACAUUGUAUGAUGCAUAUAUUCCUUGUAAAGUUUUUCGGAUUCCGUACAUAUGAGAAAUGAGAAAUUAUGUUUUCUCUCAAGAUAUAUAUGAGAAAUAAAAGGUAUAGGUAAUAUCGGGAUACCCUGCUAUGAUGGGCGUUGUCUUUUUGUUGUGAGUAGUUCCAUAUGAGCUAUUUGUUUUUUUUCCUUUUCGUGGUUUGUUCCUAUACUGUUCCUUAUGCAUAUGGUAACCAUGUUUUUUAUGAAAUGCACGUCAUGGUAGUCUGUUCUCUUCCCCCGUUUGAUCUACAUGCCUUGUGGUGAACUGAGCUUAUUUUGUCUUACACACAUUCAUGAAUUGUUUUUGCAAGAGCUCUUUUACGGUGAUUGUCGUGUACUUCUCAGUAUUUUUCGGUACUCCCGCCGAAAUUAAUUAUGUUCGUUGAUCUUUACUCAGAGGUUGUUUGUUUCCCUGGGCCGCAACUGGCUAACGGGCUGUUUGGUUUCCCCGGGCCGCCGGAUGUAAUGCCCGUCUCUCUCCCUGCAUCGAUACUCUUCCUCGCUCCCCUAGCGUCGGCCGCCCGAGCGAGGCCCCUCCGCCGCCCGAGCCCUUCUCGUCGACCACCGGCGCGCCGCCCCUCCGCCACCGGCACUUCUCCGCUGGCGGGGCGCCUCCUCGGCCGCCCACGCGCCUCCGACAAUCGUCCAGGCGGCUCCCGCGGAUGAAGCCGUAGCCCAGCCAGGUCCACCACGGCGCCAUCCCCCAUUGGCAGGUCUGAAGAGGCAUUGGACGGUGACGAUGCGGACGGCUCCUUGCAGCGCCCCUGCCAUGUCCUUCCUUUGACUCGCGGCGACCUCCUUGACUGCAGCGACGGUUGAGCUGCCUCCAGCAACGGCGACCGUGGAUACGUCUCACCCUGCCGUGUGGUAUUGCCCCAGGCGAUGGCUACUUGGGCUGAAUUUGGGUGUUCUGUUGUGCUGAUUUUUUUUGAACCAGCUGCACUGAAAGUUUUGCUGUACUGAAUUUGGGUGUUCUGCUGGCUGAUGAUGUAUUUUUGAAGAUGUUGGCUCCUGUGUUGCUGAAGCCUGAAGCUCCUGUGUUGCUGAAUGUACAGAAAUUUAUGGUGUGCGCUAUUUUAGUUCUUCCUCUGUCCCAUAUUAAGUGAUUCAAAUUUGUCCAAAUAUGGAUGGAUCUAUGCUUAAAAAAUGUCUAGAUACAUGUCAUAGAAAGUCACUUAACAUGGGACGGAGGGAGUAGUUAUUUAGGCAGGCUUUUCAAUCUGAAUGUGAAUGUAGAAAAAUCUCAUGUAUUUUGGAUGUGAAUGUACAUAAAUUUCAUCUAUUAUGUCAGUGUAUGGAAAUCUCAUGGCAUACAUUUUGUAGCAUGGUUCUGGUCACCUCAUCAUAGAAAUGAAACACUUAUCUUUUGCCGCAAAUCAGGUUUUCGGUAAAUCUGAUUGUCUUUGUGCCAAAGCAGACACAUUUCUGGAACAUAAUAAAUUACGACAAGGCCAAGGGUAGGUUUUGUUGAAGCUCCACAAUACAUGUCAAACUGUAGCUUAUCUCUUGAUAUGAAUACUAAAUCUGAAUGUUGUGUUUUGUGUUGAUGAGAUAUUCAUAUUCAUAAACAAAAAUGUAAACCUAUUGCCUAAGUCUGAAUGCUUCUUGUUCACUAAAAGAUGAGAUUUCAGUACAUUGUCAUAAUAUAUGAGAUCUCAGUACAUAUCUCAUUCCAGAAAUUUCUGUACUAUCUCAUAACACCAUUGCUAUUUUGUACAGCAGAUAACAGCUUCAGGUUAAAGAGCAGACACAGGUUCAGCAAACAGCAAGCUUUAGCAAACAACAAGGACCAAUUUGAAUUCAGGAAACAGCGAGCAUCUAAUUUGAUUCAACAAACAAAGAGCAUCCAAUUCAACUAAGCUAACAUCAGUCUUCCAUUUCAAUUUAGCUAACAUCAUGGGGACGCCGCCACCGUUGCGUGGGGCUGCUGCCACCAGAGCAUGGGGACGCCGCCUGCCCGUGGUUCUGCCGCUGUCGCCAGAGCAUGGGGGCAGCUCCACCCGCCCCCGUUCCUGGGGGAUCCUCUGCCCGUGCGUGUGGUUAAACCUCUGCCUCCAGCGCAUGGGGCCGUGGCUACCGCCGCCUGCGCCUGUGUACAGCGCCGUCCGCCGUUAGCACCUACACAAAGCCGUCGGCCGUCGGCCUCCUUAAAGCUCGGGCUAGGUAUUGCAAUCGACACAGACAAGAGGGUGCCGGUUCAGAGCAGAGGGAAAGAAACAAGUGGUUUUUUCUCAAAAUCGCGUUAAAGUUAUGGGUGGGAUUCCCACCUCUCAUCUGAGCCGCACGUCGCAUAUCUAAUGGCGAACUAUCGAUUCUUUUAGUUUAAAUAUAAAUUGAUAAUUCUAAUACUUUCCAGUACUUUUGUUUUAGUACUUUUCAGUACUUCUUAUUUUUCCACCGUUCGAUUAAUUAGGUUGAACGGUUCAUAAAAUCGCCAACCACUGUAAAACCUGUAUUUUUGCAAUUAUCAAACUGCCAUGAUCACCAUUUUUGGUCCUGAGUCAGUGUUCCUACUGCUGCUCCUGAAUCUGGGAUCAGGUGGAUGGACCUUUUUCCAAAUAUUCACCUGGUGAUCGAAUAGAUAAAUUUAAGGAACCUGAUUUUGUGUACAAUGAAAAGAUCCCACCGUGGAAAUCAUUGCAAAGGAAAUACAUAUCAUGUUGCAAAAAUUGAUAUCACGAAAAAAAUGUCUUUGAAAUAUUUCGUUGUAAUUUUUAGUUAUAUGGGUUGCUUCGUAAUUCCUUGGAUCCAUGAUCGGAAGCACCAUACUACUUGUAAAGACUAUAGAGUUUGAAUAAACUUACUUGUAUUCUCAAAAAAAAAAAAGCUAGCUACUCCGUAAAAGCAACGUACAUAUCUCUUUGGUCCUUUUGAUAUUAACGUCCCUACGAAAAGGAAAUUAAACUGCAUGGGCGUGAAGGAAGAGAAAAAAGAGAAAGAGGACGAACUCCCUGACAUUAUUAGGUGGUGGUAGUAGUAGGGGUAAUAUGUGAUAUCCAUUCAUCCAUAGCGACUGUGAAUUUCUUGAAAAGAAACGACGUCGGCGCGUACUGAACAUCGUAGCCUCGUACGUAGUACGACGCAGUAGGAACGAAGGAACUCAUGGCGUACGUGCACGAACCAGCUGCCACCCGAGAAUUAACGACCGUUGCAGAAGAGUCGCAGGCGCACCCAUAUUGGCAUGGCGAUCAUAACACGAGUACUCCAUUUCCGAGAGAUCGAACAAGAUUACAAGAAAGGUUCUCUCCUUUUUGUUUGUACCCCGGCCGGUUUGCGCCAUUUCUGACCUAAAAAACAUCAGUUAUAUGUAAUCGGAGGGAGUAGCAUUGGUCAUGUCUACGGGCCUUUGCCGACAUGGAGCACACACGCACUUGAAUACUUGAUCGACACGAAUCUUCACCGGUGGUUACGCUUCUCCACACGCGCCGUGUUAGCUUAGCUUAGCUAGCUAGGGUCAAAUCUUGCGCUCUGGCCGGCCGGCCUCGCUCCGUACUACACAGACACAGUGCUGUGCUGUGCUGUGCUACGACAGUCGACAUUAUUAACCUGCAGCGCGACCUGGCCUGUGUGCGUCGGCGGUCAUCGAUCGAGGCCCGGUCGUUGUCGUACGUGCUGGGCCACGAGCUCAGGUCGACCAAAGAGAGAUUGAUUAAUCGGCAAGUCAUCCACAGUGGAGAGAGGUCGAUGCAUCAGUCGUCGCAUCGGACCCGCCAGCCGGCCCCCACGCGUUUCUGUCGUCCACGUACGGGACGCCGACGCGCGUCGUCGCUCCUCUCGAGGCCUCGGGUGGUUAGUUAUCAGCUACUACCUCAGUACACGAGCCACGCACGUGCCCUAGAUUAAUUACAAAUUUAACUAUCAAAAUAUAAAUUAUAUUUCAUAAAAAAUAUAUCAUUAGAUUCGUAAUCAAAUAAACUUUCUAAUGGUGUGUCUUUUAAGUCAUAUAAUUUAUAUUUUGACAGAUAAAUUCACGAUUUUGGAACACAUGCAUGUCUCGGGACGGAGGAAGUAGCUGGCUAGCCCUUUUUCCUUUGCGUUUAAAUGAUGUUUACAAGGAAUGAACAUUCCCAUUUCCUCUACUAGCCUAGGUAGUUUCAGAAACGAUAUGAUGCUCGCGAGCUAGCCAACUAGCGUGGCAUUGUAUUUGUAGCUAGCUAGGCUGCUCGAUUUACUUGCCUUUUAGCCUAGGGAGAGCGUCGUCGUGUUCGAUUCCAGGAUCGGAGUACCAGACGGCGGGACAAAUUGAUCGACCACCUCAUCGAUCGAUUUAAUUUCCUAGCUCAUGCUAGAUCUCACUUUUGCUUCCCAUCGUAUGACAACUGUAAUUGCCAAGGCAUAUAUUGGAGUACAAAACUAUGUCUUACUGCUACUCAUUUGGAUGCUUUACAAUUGGUUGAUGGUGCACGAGAUAAGUACUAAAUUUUUGUCAUGAUUUUAGUUUGAAUUUAAACUAAAACAACGAUAAGAAUUUAGAAAAAAAACGGAGGGAGUAUGCAUCAACGAUGUCUAUGUAUUUUGAGAAAUACCGAUUCUGAAGACCUUCCGUGUGAAAUUAUUGGAAUUUCAAUGAACUCAUUUAUUUUAUUAAAUGGGGUCUCUUGAGACCAUUUCUUUCAAAAAUUAAAGGUAAAACCUUCCGCCUACAUUUUCAGAUGCACUCAACAUAUUUUUAUUAUUAAAAAGGAUGCUAGAAAUCAAGGCCAAUCAAAUCAAUAAAAAGGAAAUUUUGGUAUCAAACUUCUUUAGUACAAAGAUGGCAUCACAACAACCAUCCGUCAACGUGCCGCCAUCCUGCAUUGCGGCUAGAGCUGCAAGUUUGUGACCCUCAGGGUACCCAUUGACUCUCCUUAGUUCAACCAAAUGAACUGGUUUUUUCAAAAAGUUGUGUCAUUUUAAAAUUUUAGUUCAUUUGAUUGAACUAAGGAGGGUCAAUGAGGACCCUGAGGGUCACAAACUUGCAGCUCUAAUUGCGGCCCAAACCCCCUACCGGGGUGUACCGUCAAGUCGAUAAGGUACUACAAAGCCACACAUACGUCUUUGGAGACAACUACAUGAGCACCAUGCCGACGACCGUGUCAUCUUCCCGUGAGAUCCUCAUUUAUCCCCUAUCCCCUCACCGCCGUCUGAGAAGGAUACCAGGCUCAUGUGGCCAACAAUGAAGACGGUGGCAAGUUUUUUUUUUCUUUUGUCCAAGAUUAUUUUUGACACAUCCAUAAUUUGGAGAUGAGCAGCGAAAUAAUUUUAAAAAUCGUACUUAAAAUAACAAGCCAAAAGAGUUUACCCGUAUAGAUGCUUAAUUAAUUAAUUAUUAGGUUAGCUCAGCCCCCUUUUGUCAAUUAAUAAACUAUUUUGUCACGAGCAGCAAUAACUCGAAACAAUAUGAAACAGGGGGUGCGUAGAAAACAUGUGAUGUCAAAUGAUUGCAGCAAUUAUUUACUCGAAACUCUGUUUUUUAGAGAAUUUGUUUCAACACUCAACCUUGUGCGUCGUGACCCGUACUCUUAUUCAUCCUCCACCACCUGGUCAAACGUCGUGCAUGUUUUGUGUAAAAUAUUGCGCACUGACACCUCACUGAUUAUUAACUCAUAAAAUAGGAGUACUUUCAAUCCACAUAAAGUGUCAGAAGUUUAGUGUAAAGUUGUAAUAACUUUGUACUAAUUCUCAACACUUAUGAGUUGGAGGGAGAAACACAGAAGAACUGAUAUUUUAGGCAACCUUGGUUUCUUCUCAAAAUUUCUCUAGUCACAACUAAUAAAGAACGUGCAUGCAUUUUCGUGCGGACAUGUUACACUUUUUAGAGGGGAAUUCGAUCGACACAUCCCUUUUUGAAUGACUUUUGUGUGGAACAAGCAUGCAGCUACAGAGCUACUCCGACUCGUAUUUUCUCUUCCCAAAUGAAAUGAAACGGAACAGUACUAGUAACUGGCAUGUGAUUUCUGUGUUGACUUAGCUCAGACUUGCUUGAAGUCCUAGUCCACGUCAACUACAAUGAAGCGGGUGGGUGUUAUGUUGAUAUCUCGGAUCUGGACCCAUGCGCUCCUGCUUCUUUGUCCUGCGCAUCCCUCUUUCUUCUUUUCUUGCCAUCAUUCAAUCCUAGCCAUUUACCAUUCUCCGUAGCUACUAAGCUGCUGCUGGAGCCCACAACUUGACCACCACUUCAAUUGAGAGCAAAUGUGUUUUUACAGCUGUAUUAAAGAUAACAUACGCAGACAUAUAGGGAAAAAGAGUGCUUGUUAGAAUGAACUCCAUUUUUUAUUAAACAAGUUUGUAAUACUCUCUUUUUUAAUUGUCUUGACAGCAACGGUUAGAAAGGGCCAAUCAACUUCUUGACCAGCUAGCCUCCAAUCACUUCAGCUUCGAUCCUAUCCCUUGUUUGCAUCGGUGCUGGACCGUGUGGCAAUUCGUUUUUUAAAGAGUGGAUUUUAUUUUUGAUCUUUAAGUUUACACUUUUUUUUGACAGGUUUAAUCCUAUUUAGUAUUUAGCAAAACUUGUGCACUAAUGACCCCAUUUAAGUUUUUUGUCCUAAUCCCCUCCGUCCUGACAAGUGGGACCUGCCUGAGUAGAAGACGCAAGAGAGGCAGAGCGAAAGAGAGCCCGUCGGGUCAGGUGUGUGGGGUUUGGGUUGGGCGGCACCAGGUCGAGUGGGGUUCGGAAGAUGCCUGGGUUGGACAGGUUCGGUUCAUCUCUGGCGUGCCAGGCCGGUUCAUUCGGCCGGACCGAAACAAAUGCAGCGAUGCGGAGGAAGCGCACAUGAGAAAAUACCUGUCCGACGUGGAAUGCCACGUAGGCCUGAAACGUGGGCCCCACCUGUAAGCCGGAGGGGAUUAGGGCACAAAAAUGAAAUGGGAUCAAUAGUGGCAGAAGUCUAAAAAAAUGUUAGGUUCAAGCAUAUAUCUUGUUGAUCAUACUAUGGAGUAUAAAGGUGUUAUCAUGUUGUUUCUGUUUUAGUUUACAUGCCACAAUAGUUCUAUUGACCAAAAUAAUACAGGACGUAGCCAAAAUUACAUUAAUCAUGAAUGGAUUAAGAGGAAGCGAGAAAGCUACUCCACUCUAGCCAUAUCGUAACCUAACACGUGGCGCAGAUGCACGGUAGUAAUACUGGUGAUGUCAAGUCAAGAAAAGAAAAUGGAAGCCACGCAAAAAAAGAAAAACUGCGCAUGCGUGCAUGAAAGGAAAACACAGAAAUGAUAUCAUUGCUAGCUACAAAACAGUCAAAACUAGGACUCGGCUUGACCGGUGCAAUAAUAUAUAAGGAGGACUUAAAAAGAUAUACAGUAGCAAAUAUAAGCAAAAUUAUCGUGAGAGGAGUCCAAGUGAAGAUUAUAGAGCAGGGACCCAAAGAAAGAAUUAAAGCAAGGGAAGCACUAAGAGACAAACAAACAAGGCUGGCCACGAUGAAAGGACGAGGUACGAAUACGACGCCAACCAAAACCAGGCAAAACUCACCCAACUGUGUACGUGCAUUAUUGAGCUCUCUCGCUUAAUCUAAGGAUAAAAUCACUGCUGGUGAAUCAGCAGUAGGUACAUAUACACAGUUCAAUUCACCGGUGGGAGAUACUAAUAUAUACGAAGUACACAGUAUGGCUCAUAAGGCACCAUCCGGCCUUUUUUUCUUUCUUUUUGUAGAACGGCACUUUAGCACUCCGCGCGUGCAACCACUAAAAGUUACUUCUUCCGUUUUAUAAUUUUUGUCCCAAAUUUGCUCAAAAAUAAAUAUAUUUAUUUUUAAAAAGUGUUUAAAUACACGUAAGAUUUCGACGAGAACUAUGAAACGAAACGGAAGUAGUAAUAAACUUUGGAGGCCCUGCGAAAAACAAAAGCUUUGGAGGCACCUCCGCGGCUCCGAACCUGUAGACUGCAUGUACAGUCCGGCCGGGACCAUUACCAUUUUUCUACUCAUUAGACUAUGAUAGCCCCUUUUUAGCUACGGGUCUCUCUUGACAGUUCACACGCUCCCUUCUCCGAUCCUCUCUCGCUCGUUCCAAUCAAUCUCCAAGAAACAAAACCUGCGCUAAUCCAACACGGCAACAACCAACCACGGCACCCAGACGCCACAAGAAGCACAGCCAAACAACCAUGCAUACAUGUGUUUCUCGCUCCACAGCCAUAGGUUAAUAAGCUUACUAUACAAACCCCCAACCCCACCCCUCUCCAUCUCUCUCCUCUAUUCUAUCUCUCUCUCUCUCUAUGUAGCCAGUUGUCUGCUCUCGUCGCAGCAAUUCGCACGCAGGAUACCCCGGCCGGUUCUCCCUUGUUCUUGAAUUCCAGGUCAAGAACUCAAGCUAGCUGCUGCCUGCGCGCGCUGAAGCACGUCGUCAAGGUUACUACUGCUGCCUGCCUCUGUCCUCUAAUUUUAUUGCUUAAUUUGUCUGUCUGAAUUUCUUGUGCUCCUCCAUGUUCAAUUUUCUCUGGCGACUUUGGUGAUGGUUGAUAAGUUCAAGUUUGUUCACUCCUAGCUUCUUCUUCCCUCUCUCUGUUUUUCCUCCUCUCUUUAAUUGGGUUGCUCAGAUGACUGAUAAAUUUUGGUCUGAUGAUAUCCGGAUCCAAAACUUCCGAGUCCCUUUCUACUGUGGUUAUUGUCUAGCGUCUUAGGGAUGAGUUAUCUGAAAAUCGAUCAUGUGGACUGCAAUUUUAUCAUCAUAGUUGCUGUCUACCAUUUUUCUUCUUCUUCUCGACAAGCUUGUCCCUCAUGUUUUUACGAAAUUCAUCCUAUACUAUACACGCUCUCGAAAACAAAAGAAAUUCUUGGGACUAAAUGUGAACCAGAGCCAAGUUCUCCAAAAAAAAAUGCAUCUAAAAUUUGUUUUUGUCAAUCCAGAUCUGCUCCCUUGGCUGGUACACCUAUGCUUCCUGUUGGCUACUAGUACAAGUACGGCUUAGCAAUUAAUCAUCUGUUAAAUGAAGUGGCCGAAUUUCCCGGCGAUACCCAUGGAUUUGGUGAGGAUAUUUAUUGCCUGAUUCUGGUAUCUGGUGAUGGCCUCCCUCUCUACAUCCAUCAUGGAGAGCUUCCCCUAAACUCAAUGGCGACACCCCCACCAUACCAUAUUCUAUGGAGAGCUCCAUCACCUGCCUACCUUUUCGUCCAUGAUGUGCCACAGCCCCAUAAGCGUUUCAUUGAACGAUUCAGAUGCUACUUUUCCGACGUGCGACUUGUGCUGCUUCAUUUAUGCCAUCUCAUCACCCAUCCCUGUUAAUCAAGCUUUGCGUCUUCCACACAAACAAGUUGUUUUAAUUUAGAAUCCUUUUUCAUACCAACCCUAACCUCAUGCUUUCUUUCAUUUCGAUAUAGUUUAGAAUCCAAGCUUCUGUUAGGUUCCAAAAAUUGCUAACCGCUAGCAGCGAUUGUAGAGUCUUAACUGGUAAAUUAUACAGUCUUAAACUGGUAAAUUAAGUACAGUCUUAAGUCUUAAUUGGUAAAUUGUAGGGUAACGGGCAGGGAUACCUUUUUCUGUGCAUGUUAUUGUAGUGGACGUCUCAAUCAGAGAGGAGGUGGCCGGUGGCCUCUCGCUGUCUCUGCACCCACGUCUGGUCUACCAAAUGCCGCUGAUGGUCAUGCUUUGUAGGCUUUUAUAUACAUAGCAGCACAUUAUACUUAUGCAUGCAAUUUUCAUUUUCUGGGGGUGGAUUUAAGAUGUGGGAUUAGAUUUUGGCUGACUGUGUGUGCACCAACAGAUGUCAUCGCCAGUGUUGCAUUCCAUCGAAAAAGGAACAGCACUAGAUGAGUCAAUGAAUGACUGAUUGCCCAAGUUGUGAUGAAUUAAUACACCAAUUAUUACAAGUCAUGGCUUGCAAUGUUAAAAAGCCUAAAUUGGAAGCUCAAAUUUCAUAUAUGCCACAUGGUCUGAAAAACAACACUUUUUCUUCUUUAUAUAAUUUCAGUUGUUGUCAACACUUUCUAGUCGACUUUUAGUACCUGAUAUAUGGUUCAAACAAACCCUUGAUUCCUGCUACCAUUCGAUUCCUUGGGAACAAAAAACUUUUGAGGAUCACGAAGAAUAUUUCCUUUUCACAUUUCGUGCCUGGCAUCUUGAAACAAGCAACCGAUUCCUACUACCAGUAUUUGAUUCUUUGGCACGUCACUGAUUCCUGCUACCAAUGUUUGAUUCUUUGGAACUAUUUUGGGCAUCACCAAUAAAAUCUAUUGCACUUUUAGUACCUGAUAUAUGCUUCAAAUAUCCUAUUGAUUCCUUCUACCAAUGUUUUAUUCCUUUGGGAGUUGUGACGAAGUAAAACUUGUGGGCAUCCGCAAGAAUAUUUCUGCAACCAACUUCCAACUGGCACAACUUUCUUCCUUAUUUCCGUAUACAUUUUUCAAAACAGGUAGUUACAAGCUGCUGGCUUGUUACUGAAGUUUUUGCACUCACAGAUUACUAAAUACAUAUACUUGUUCCUAUUUCAGAUUAAGGCGAAUCAGUUCGGAGGUGGCGACCCAACAUGAGCAAUCUUAAGCUCGGUGUUGAAGUUGUCAGUGCUCAUGACCUCAUCCCGAAAGAGCAGGGGACAGCCAAUGCCUUUGUAGAGGUCGAAUUCGAUGACCAGAAGUUCCGCACAGCCAUAAAAGACAGGGACAUUAACCCUGUCUGGAACGAGCAGUUCUUCUUCAACAUAUCCGAUCCUUCACGUCUUCAGGAGAAAGAGCUCGAGGCCUAUGUGUACCAUGCAAACCGUGUCAGCAAUAACAAGACAUGCCUCGGCAAGGUUCGCAUCUCCGGUACAUCGUUUGUCAGCCAAUCUGAUGCAGCACCCCUGCAUUACCCUCUGGAGAAGCGCACAAUCUUGUCACGUGCUCGUGGCGAGCUUGGUCUUAGAGUCUUCCUUACAGAUGAUCCGUCAGUGAGGGUGUCCGCUCCAGGUCAGGAUUUUAAUUUUGCAAGCACACCCACCACUGCCCAAGAGCAGGCAACUGUCAAUUCUAUUCCAAAUCCUUUCCAAGAAACCAGGACAAAUGAAGUGAGGCAAUUCCAACACUUACCACGGGAACAGCAGCGACCAGCCCCGAUGGCGGGGCAGCAAUACUACGCUCAGGGACAGGGUUCAUAUGGAGAUCAGCAGCAGAGAAACUACGCCGCUGCUGGGAACAAACCUGAAGCCCCUCAAGUAAGGAUGUAUUCUGCAGGUCCACAGCAGCCUGUAGACUUUCAGCUGAAGGAGACAAGCCCAACGCUUGGUGGUGGGCGUAUUGUUCAUGGUCGGGUGAUGCCUGGUGAAAAGGCUGGGGCAUAUGACCUUGUGGAGAAGAUGCACAUCCUCUUUGUGCGUGUAGUCAAGGCCCGUGAGCUGCCCCACAUGGACCUCACAGGGAGUCUUGACCCUUAUGUUGAGGUGCACCUUGGGAACUACAAAAUGAAAACAAAGUUCUUCGAGAAGAACCAGAGGCCUGAGUGGGAUGAGGUGUUUGCAUUCCCUAAGGAAGUAGUGCAGUCAUCAACACUUGAAGUUGUUGUGAAGGAUAAGGACAUCCUUCGGGAUGACUAUGUCGGCCGAGUAAUGCUUGACCUGAAUGAGGUGCCUGUAAGGGUCCCUCCUGACAGUCCAUUGGCGCCAGAGUGGUAUCGCCUUAUGGGCAAGGAUGGGAUGAGGGACAGAGGGGAGUUAAUGCUCGCAGUAUGGUAUGGAACUCAAGCAGAUGAAUGCUUCCCAAGCGCCAUUCAUGCAGGAUCAACACCAAUUGAUUCCCAUUUCCACAACUAUAUCCGUGGUAAGGUCUACCCUGCACCAAGAAUGUGGUAUGUAAGGGUCAAUGUAAUUGAGGCACAGGAUAUAUUCACAAUGGAGCACCACCACAUACCUAAUGUGUUUGUAAAGGUGAGGAUUGGUCACCAAUUGCUGAAGACAAGGCAAGUUCGCUCACCAACCAAAAACUUCAUGUGGAAUGAGGAGAUGAUGUUUGUCGCAGCAGAGCCUUUUGAGGAUGACUUGAUCAUACAAAUAGAAGAUCGUGUUGCACAGGACAAAGAUGAGGUAAUUGGUGAAGCUAUCAUACCUAUCGCAAGGCUUCAAAAGAGGGCUGAUCACAAGGCGAUAGUACGCCCAGUGUGGUUUGAUCUGAGGAGACCAGGACUGAUUGACAUGAACCAGCUAAAGGAAGACAAAUUCUAUGCAAAGAUAAGCCUCCGGGUUUGCCUUGAAGGUGGUUAUCAUGUCCUUGAUGAGUCAACACAGUAUUGUAGCGAUCUCCGACCAACAAUGAAGCAGCUGUGGAAGCCACCAAUCGGGUUGCUUGAAGUUGGCAUUCUAAGUGCAAAUGGUCUUACCCCAACAAAGACCAGGCAAGAAAGAGGGUCAUGUGAUCCAUAUUGUGUUGCCAAGUAUGGUCAUAAAUGGGUGCGUACUCGCACAAUAGUUGACAACUUGAACCCUCGAUUCAAUGAGCAGUAUACAUGGGAUGUCUUUGACCAUGGAACAGUACUCACCAUUGGUCUGUUUGACAACUGCCACAUUGGAGGAGACAACCACGACCACGGCCACGGCCACAGCCACAGCCACAGCCACAGCCACAGUUCCCCCAGCAGUAUGGAUAAACCCAUUGGGAAAGUGCGAAUCAGGAUCUCAACCCUUGAGACUAGGCGGGUGUACACGCACACAUAUCCACUGCUUGUUCUCCACCCAUCAGGAGUUAAGAAGAUGGGUGAACUUCACCUUGCUAUCAGGUUCUCAGUCACAUCCCUGCUCAAUGUGUUCCUUACAUACUCACAUCCACUCUUGCCCAAAAUGCACUACUCCCAGCCAUUGUCAAUAGUCCAGCAGGAAAUGCUACGUCACCAGGCUGUCCAGGUUGUUGCACAGCGCCUGGGGCGCAUGGAGCCACCAGUUCGCAGGGAAGUUGUUGAGUACAUGUCAGACGCCCGCUCUCACCUGUGGAGUAUGCGACGAAGCAAAGCAAACUUUUUCCGUCUUAUGCAAGUAUUCUCUGGAUUCAUUGCUGCAGGGAAGUGGUUUGGUGAUGUUUGCCAGUGGAAAAAUCCAGUCACCACAGUCUUGGUUCAUGUGCUCUUCAUCAUGCUCGUCUUCUAUCCAGACCUCAUCCUUCCGACAAUCUUCCUGUACAUGUUCUUGAUUGGGUUGUGGAAUUACCGGUUCCGGCCACGUGUUCCACCACAUAUGAACACGAGGAUAUCUUAUGCUGAUGUUGCCCAUCCAGACGAGCUUGAUGAGGAAUUUGACACGUUCCCAACCUCAAAGAGCCCAGACCUGAUUAGGAUGAGGUAUGACAGGCUCCGGCAUGUUGCCGGGAGGAUACAGACAGUUGUUGGUGACAUCGCAACUCAGGGUGAGAGAAUACAGUCACUGCUGAGCUGGAGGGACCCAAGAGCAACAGCUAUGUUCCUAUUAUUUUGCCUGUUCACCGCAAUUAUUUUGUAUAUUACACCAUUCCAAGUGAUUGCACUCUGCCUUGGGUUCUUUUGGAUGAGGCACCCACGGUUUCGCCACAAGGUGCCUGCAGCGCCGGUAAACUUCUUCAGGAGGCUACCUGCAAAGACAGAUUCUUUGCUGUAAAGGACCUCAGAGAUCAGCUACUAAUGUUGUGUAAUACACUUCUUUGUAUCUAUUUUCUGUUGUCAGUAUAUUGUUGUAUUAUAGCAUCAGGUAAAUUAUCAUAAUAUGUAAUUGCUGUACCAUGUGGAACAAAAUAAGGCGAGUUCAUCAGAUAAUUUUGUGGUCAAAAGUUAAGAGAUUCAUUCUUUAAGCUGUAUAGUACAAGAUGUUCAUAAGAUGUUUGUACAAAAAAAGAGAGUUUCUAUGACCAACUAACCAAGUCAAGUUUGUCAUGCUCAAGGUAUAAGAGCAUUACAAGGUAAGCAUGAAACUGAGGUUCAUGAGAUCCUCCGCAUGUGCAUAUUUUUCUAUGUUGAACUGGAUGAAAGUUUUAUACACUUCUGCUAGCAUACAAAUUUUUAAUCUCUGAGCAUAAAAACUUUGCUGUAUUAUGAAGAUGGGCAUCAGAACCUUACUGUAUCAAGAAUCAAGAUAUGUUGUUUAUCUUGCAGGUCGCAGCAUGACUACAAACAAUUAAAUAAGAAAUCAUUCUUUGCACUUGUUUUGAAUAAGCAGCUUUACUCUCCUGGGCCUGAAGAGCAUAAUGGACAACUGACAUCAACAUCAAUAGUGAAGAGCUAAUCUAAAAAUAAUUGAUAUUAUACUGAACUCUUAUCGUUAUCAGUACAACCCCGUGACAAAUUAUCAGGCACAUGAAGUCCUCCAAAGAGUGAUAGAAUGAUUUGUUACCUUAUUUCAUAUGAUUUUCUAUUAGAAGCACUAACGGAACAUAUGAUAUUUUUGACUCAACAAAUUUACUGUACAGUCAGGGAAACUUUCGAGACAGCUGAAAACAAAUGGACAAUAUUUCUCAUUAACUUUGUUGAACACAGACAUUCAAGAUUUGUUCUAUACAAAAAGAAGAACAAAAUUUAGAUAAAACAGAUUUAUCAAUUCUUUACUAUGGUUUGGAGCAAACAACAAAUGACUCCACUUGGUACGACGGGGUCCUUAUGCCCUUAUACCACGGAGUAAAAUUGUAAGUCUUACUGGUACACUAUCAAGUUGCAAGAUUUGAACAUAGUACAAAGAUAAGCACAAAGCAACAUAGGUAAUGGAAAACAUCUGGAAGUGAUAAGAUGACUUCUUUGACACAAUUUGCACAGAUCACACUAAAUUGUGUCCAAGAAAAAAGGACUGUUUCCAACAUCACUUCAUAACACAUAUAGUCUUCGAGUACUGAUAUACAUAGACUUAACAAUAUGAGAAUGGUUCAAAUUGUUGGCAAGAAAACAGAAUUGGGUAUGAUUGAUAAGGCAGUGACAAUGAAAUAUAUCCAAGAGUGCGCACACAAAGAUAAGGUAACAUUUAUAAAAUAAAAUAUCUUUAUUGCCCCUUUUCAGUCUUACAGAGAAAAAUACCAACUUGUGUGGCCAUAGGUUGAAUGGCCCACUCUAGAAGCAUAAUUCAAGACAUAGAUCACAAGAAGGUAAAUGAUGGAAGAUAAGAAAAUUGUGAUUUCUCAACAAACGCAUACUGCCUUGUUCCCAAGUACACAUAAGGAAGAGUAAAUAAAGUCAAGAUUUAGGCGAACUUCAUCAUGCUGUGGAAGGGAAAACUUCUCUUUUGCUGAUACAAGCCACUUCAGAUUUACAGUAGUUGGUUGCCUUGGAACUCAAAAAUGUGACAGCUACUUGGUAAAUAAAUGUCGUCAAAAGUUCCUGCAGCACUGAACUAUAAGUACAUGGACACCAUACGGAAAAAAUAAAUAAUUGUAAUGAUGUCAAAGGUAUAUAUACAAGGAGCAUGCUGCCCUGAAUUAAGGCGUAUGAUAAGUCAAACUCAUGAUGUCAUAGAUAAACACCAUCAUUUAACUAUAUUAAUUUGUUAGCAAAGUACUAAAGACGUUCCAUAUUUUCCAAAUGAGUUAAUUAAUGUCAACAAGGGGCCUAUCAUUAGAACUAGUGCCUCCAUGCAUCGUGAAAAAUAAAUUGCACAAAAUCUCAUAGCAUUGGUAACAAAAUAGUCGGUAGUUGUCCCUUUUUUUUUUUGGGACAAUGUACUGAAGCACUUCCUGCACAUCCGUGCAUGUUAGAAAAAAAUGCAGUAAGUGAGGUAAAAAAAGCAUGUAAGUGGUAAUUACCUUGUAGAUGAUACUGAUAACAAACACUGACUACGGGAUGUGGAGCAGUCGAUCAACAGCCAAGUCUAGUGAAUCAACAUUCUUCCGCAUAGUCUUUCUUUUCAGGAAUUAAGACUUAACGUAAUUCCAAAAUGGGCAAUGCUAAAACGCUAUGAAACUAAAAAACACAAGCAUAUAUUCAUACUAAAAUGACCUUUCACCAAUUGAACAACACAGCUGCAGAGUUACAUGUUAUCAGCAACUAACAAAAGGAUACAGUUGCAUACUUAGGCUUUCCAAGCCUCUCAUUUCCUCAUUUAACCUGCAACAUUUCACACCGGGUCACCACAAAACACAAGACACAAAAUGAACUGACCAAUGUCAACGCAUAAAACAGUGCAUGGUUUCCAGAAAGUAAUACAUCUGUUGCCUACAAUGCCAUAUCUCCUCCAACUGCAACAAUUACAGUGCUAAAAGGAAAUCCAGAACCAAACGGGAUUUCUAGUCAAUAUUGGUAGUAUCGGGCAGUAUAUGAUUUAUCCUGAAGUUGCAAUUUAGUGAAAAAAGAAUAUCUCUGAAAUUAGUUACGGAGACCACUACAAUGCAGGGUGUGUACAUUCGCACUGCACUACCACACGUAGCACAGCCAAGUGAAAGAUGAAGACACUAGUUCAAAGUGAUCACCUGAGGCACGAAUUGAUGUACUUAUUUCCUUUCGAAGACGCUUCAAGUGCUGCAAAAAUGCAGUAGUAACAGAAAGUAAGAGUACGAUUUUUUUUUCCUCUGCAACGAUAAAAUGAACAACAGAAAGUGCAGAAAAAAAAACUAUGCAAAUUCUACAGUCCAAAUUACAGAAUUAUAAAAAAAGGGUGUGACCAUUGAACGCAAACAGUCUACAAUUUUAGACAUUCAGAUGCAGAUGAUACAUACUCCAGAGAGCUUAGUAAAAUUCUGAACAUGCUCACCUGAUUCUUGGAGGCGACCUACGACUUCGCUCAAGCAGUCCAUGUUCUCCGCCGACGUCGAUGUAACCUUCUCGUGUGUGGAAGCGGCAGAAUUAGGCGCUGGGUGAACUGUAACAAUCGGAGGAAAAAAAUCCUGGUUGUGCUUAGAGUAUGCAUACGUUAGAGAGUGCGAUGCGGAGGGAGGCGAAGAGGGAGGCGUAGCUCUCGGCGAUAGCGGCGGCGUCUCGCUCCACCGCCAACAUCGCCGCCGCCACCUCCCUCGCCCCAGGGGGAGGUGGGGCUGCCGCCGUGGGGGCAGUGGAGGGGGAGGAGGAGGAGCGGGCCGGCGAAGGAUCCUCCUGAGAGGAUUCCUCCUGCGCCGGCGGUGGGUUAGGGGAGGCGUCGGAGUCGGAUUCCAUCUAGUUCUCUUCUCCGGCUGGGUUUCUGCGCCGAGGGGAAGGAAGAGCAGGGGCCAGGGGGACACUUGGAACGUUUUUCCUUCGGCUCGGGUAUUGCUAAUCUUCAGAGUUCAGACCACUAAAGCUAGGUCGACCUUUUUUUCCCUGAAAAAAAAAGCUAGGCCGACAUUUUGCCUGUCAGAUUCAUAUCUUUUGUUUGUCACCGGUGUUUUUUUUAAUGUUUUCUAUGUUAUUAUUCGCCCCAAACAGUAAACACUAAAAAUUCCAAAUGUUUGUUCGGUGAAGAGAGGAUUAGGCCAUUCCCAAUGCAUUGUCCCUGAGGUGUUUUUUCUUAGCCCAAAAUGCCAAUAAACCACAUCCACAUAUUAAGUUGGUAUCUAAAGUAUCAGUUAUUUAAUAGUUUUGUGAGAGAGAGAGUUAAUGACUUUAUGUUGGUUUGCGUGAAGAAACUGUCGUUAGCAUAAGAGACAGUUUCAUCAUUAAAAAGGCAAUAUGUCAGCAAAAUGCUUAAGAUGACGUGCUAAGAGACUAGCAUUGGGAGUGACCUUAGAAGAGAUCAUUCCUAGUUUUCCGCACAAAACAUCACAACUUUUAAUGGUAGAAGGGUUUGUUUAGACUUGACAAUUAAAAACACCUCUCAUACUAAACACUACUCCCUCCAAUCUUAAAUUAUUGUCAUUGUUUUAUUAUUUUAGUUCAACCACAACAAGAACUCAAGAAUUUAGGAUCAGAGUAAGUAGUAUUUUAGGGAGAAGGUUUUUUUUUUUAGAAAACACCAAACCCCUUCAAAUAUCAAAUCACUAGUGAAUAAAAAAUAACCAAUGCCAAAGAAGGCCUUAGGGCGCUCAUCUUCCCUCCCAAAAAGCAACCAAACACAAGAAAAGACCAACCAUGUGCAUGCCCUCUAAAAAGAAAAGCAACCAUGGGCAUGAGUUUGUGUAGGGCAACCAAACACAACAACCCCUAAAUAGUAAUGGAGAUGAGCAAGCACUAUCAUGAAUUUCGUCCAUGUUGCCAUCCAUAAGAGCAAUAGAAUAUUUUUCUCGAACACGCCGAUCGACGUGUCAUUUUCAUUGAGAAGAAAGUGCAUGAAACACAAGUACAAACAAAGGCAAUAAAAACGAGCCCCAAAGAGGGCUCAAAGAAAAGAAGAAGGAACGAAAAAGGCCAAAGGUCACUAUAAAGGAGCAGAACUAUAGACAAUGAGAAGAUUUGUACAAAUUGGUAAUACUCAAUAAUGCUAAGUUCUGGAUGAUUACACAUAGAGUAGUUCCUAAAUGGUAAGACACUAUAUGUUUUGAAAAAAAAAAAUCUAUUGCACACGAAGGGUCGGUGACUGUGGGUAGUGUUAGUUGAGCAUGUAUAUUUGGCUUAUUAGAGAAUGCCGUGGGGCUCAACCUAGUCCUGUGCAUAGGAAUGACUAGCUAAGUGUCGGUGUGCUGUUGAUUAGUCCACCAGCUAAGUGUUUUACAAGUAAGGAAUUUGUCUUCCUUUUUUACCUCCCCCCUAUUAAGCGUUAUUUUUUAAAAAAAAACUGAUGCUAAUUGUACACAUGUAAGAAUAUGCUAAUUGUGCCUCCCUUUGGUUAGGAUUAAAUGUGAAUUUUGACUUUUGCCUAAAUAAUGUAUUCCCUCCGUCCAACAAAAGAUGUUUCAAGUUUGUCAAAAUUUGAAUGUAUUUAGGCAUGACUUAGUAUAUAGAUGCAUUCAAAUAGUUGAAAUUGUGUAACUAAUAGUAUGAAAAUGUGUUUAUGUGGUUAAAUUUUGAAAAGUUGUGAUUUUCUCACACGCAACUCCUAAUUAUAGAGGUUUAUUGAUAUUCUACUCUUAGAUUUACUUCAGAUGAUGUUGCAUGCAUGAUUUGUUUUAGUACUCAUACUUUUUUCUUUGGAAACAAUAAAGAGAGAGAAUAUAUUAAGGAAAAAUGGACUAUUUUUCCGAAAGAAAACCACGUUCCAGUCUCGCUCGCUAAAAAAAAGAACAAAUUUGAGUUGUUCAGCUGCUUACGUUUACGUCAGCCCCAGCUAAAGAAACAAGAAACAAACGGUUUAGUUGUCAUAGCGCCACCCGCGUAAACGGGACGCGCACGCCAUCUGAAUCCCGUUCGAACUCGGAGACGCGUUCCCAGCCGUCCGAUGCCCAUAAAUCUUCCAUCCUAGGGCAAGCCUACCCUCCUUCCGCCGCACAUCUCUCUCAUUUCGCCUUCUUCUCCUUCGCGGCCGAUCCUCGCCCUGCUCUCCACGCGCGCGCACGGAUCCCCGCCUCUGAAUCGCGCUCUGCUCUCCAAUCCCGAUUCGCGCUUUGCGAUCUCCGAUCAUGUCGACAUCGUCCCGCAAGCGCCCGGCGGCGGAUCAAGAACCGCGCGUCGACGGCGGCAAGAAGCGGCCUCGGUACGCUUUCGGGAGCAUCUACGACUACGAGAAGCUCGAAUCCCUCGGGGAGGGCACCUACGGCGAAGUGAUCAUGGCGCGCCACCGCCGCACCAGCAAGAAAGUCGCCGUGAAGUGGGUCCGCGGCGGCGGGGAUGGCGGCCACGGCCCGCCGGACUUCCGCGCGCUAACCCGCGAGGCCGGAUGCCAAGCCGCGUGCCGCGGCCACCCGUCGAUCGUGGAGAUCCUGGAGGUGGUUGGGGACGCCAAGACUGGAGAUAUGUUCAUCGUCAUGGAGCUCGUUGCCGGCGGCCAAAGCCUGCGCGAGCAAAUCUACAGGCCCUUGUCCGAGGAUGUGACCCGCGUGAAGAUGCGCCAGCUCAUCGAUGCCGCCAAGAAGAUGCACGGAGCCGGAAUCAUCCAUCGGGAUAUCAAGCCGGAGAACGUCCUCGUGGGGAUUUUCGGCGGGCUCAAAGUUUGCGAUUUUGGUGCGGCGACGAGGCAGAAGCCGGCCGGGGUGCCGUACGAGGAUUGCCGCGUCGGCACGAUGAUCUACACCUCGCCUGAGCAGCUCUCUGGCAACCGGAACUACGGCUCUGCCGUGGACAUGUGGGCUCUUGGGUGCAUAAUGGCGGAGCUCCUGGGUGGCGAGACCCUGUUCGAGGCGGAGACAGAGAAAGACAUGCUCGCCGAGAUGUCCAAGCUUGGAGAGCAGAUCAGAACCACGGGGAAGCUGGAUUUGGAGUGGUUUGCGGAGCUUUCGGAGGCUGGGCGUGAGAUCCUGAUGGGCCUGCUUGCCUUCUGUCCGGAGGAGAGGCUCACCGCGGCAGAAGCGCUGGAGCACCGGUGGUUCAGCAAGUCCUCUGCUUUCGCCUGAGCAGAGUGCCCUGGCGCUGUCAAUUUGUUCAGUUAGAUCAUCACUCCAGCUUGGUUUAGAUGAUACUCUACUUGAUAGGUGUAGUCCUCGAUGGCUCUGAUUACUGCAUUGCAUUGCAGUGCCCUCAUCGAGUUUAAUCUUAUUCUUUGAUGUAGAUUUAUGUAAGCUUAGUUCUACUUGAUACUUGAUACGAUAGGAACCAACAUUCCUCGUCAUGUAAUUCUUUGAACAAUCAGUGUAGCCUGGAAAUUAAUUGGAAAGAUGAUUUUGUUGAAUGCAGUUCAAUGUCUACUUGUUUUUUAUGAACAAUGUCCAUUUAUUUGCUUUAUCAAUUUGAGCAGGGACCGAUUUUGUUUGUUGGAGCUUAGUUAACUCUUUGAUUUUGGAGAAACGGCACCAUGGAAGCCACAUCAAGCAGGAAUUCCAAGGGAACAUCAUAAUAAAUAGUAUUAAGUGGAGAGUAAAAAAUAGAGAUAAUUGUGCUACUUCAAUCUUGUCCUUCUCUGAAUUCUGCCAUCCUGAGGCGCAUAUCCUGCUUUCUUGAUGCAUUGAUUAAACAGGGAUUAGCCUACUAUGUAAAACGGACAAGAAAGGGUUGCUGUAAGUUGCAGUUGGAAAACAAUGUUGUUUCAGUACUUGCCUUUCUGUCUGCGAAGAAUGUUGUUUGUUUGGAGAACAGUAAACAGUUUACAGACUUAAUGACCACUUUUGUUGUUCACACCGUUUUUUUCAAUAUUCGAUCAGGUCUUGAGAUCAGACUCCAGUAUUUUUACUGCAGGUUUCUUCUGGUCUUUAGUUAACUUUCAGCCUGAGCAUUUCCAAUCUUGAAACGCCUCUGUUCGUAGUGUUGCUCACUCGAGUUCUCAUCCGAGAGCUUCAGUUUGAAUCCUUGCCAAAAAAAAAACGCUAUACUGUUAUGCUGUAAUGAUGUAAGAUGUGAAUUGUUGAAGGAACAUUCUGGACAAAAUAAAGGCUGUUUUUUUAGGUAAAGAAUAAAGGGGGUUGACUGUCAGCCAGACAGCUCUUCUCCUUCUUCUGAAUCUGGGAGUCUGACAGCAAAGCUCUCGCCGGCCAACGAACCCAGGGGGAAGACUUGACUUGAGCAUUAAAAACAAGGAGAUGCGGCAUCGCGACCACAUGGAAAUUGCAGGGAACUAGCCAACAACACCACCUCUCCCCGCUUGUGGCAUUGGGCAAGAGAGUCGCCUCGAGAUUUCCUGCGAUUCUAGGGUAUUUGUUCCUCUGGUCUUGCCGCAGCCGUCGUCUUUGUUCUCCUGUUGCGUUCGAUCAUAUCUGUUAUUUUCCGCAGCUUCGCACGAGAUCAGUAGCGCGUCGCUGCGGUUUGCAGGCGUCGCAGCACUGGAUUCAAGUUCAAGAUCCCAAAAGGUUUCCCCCAAAUGCACUCUCUGUCGGUGGUUUUUAUCAUUGGUCAAAUCUGCUUCGGAAAAGGUUAUGAGUGAAUCUGGAUGCAUUCUUAUUGUUGGGUGAUUGGGGAAUUCGGCCAUGUGUUAAUUGGAGUCUACGAGUGCUACUUGGAUCACUGAUUGGGAAAGGAGAGGAUAGAACGUACAUACAAGUAGUGGUAUGAACAUGCAUAUACAUUCAGAAAAUUUUGUUUAGUGAGCCCGAAGCAGAUGAAUUCAAAGUUUCUUUAGAGGAAAAUGAGUUCCGAGUUGUAUUUACAACCACUGGCGUUAGCUUAGCAAACAGGAUCAACCACAUUGGUAAGACUUAGAUAUUCUCCUGACUGAUCCAAUAUCUGAUCAUUUGAAAAAGAAACUAUGUUGGCACAUAUAUAGUUCUAACUGAUUUUUUCUGAGUAGACAUCAUCUCAGAAUGCCAUAAUUUAUUUAUUGAAUUAUCGGACCGGUACUUCUGGACCAGGAUACUAAAAAGGUAUUUGUAUUUGGACUAUGUAUGUAUAACUGUAUACUGUUGCGGUGUUAAUGAGUGUUUAUUUUUCAACCAAACGAUUUCCUACAAAUAAUAUCUGAUCUUUAAGCUCUUCAACAAGGUACAUUGCUACAAAAGAAAUUACGGAACACCUAAUUUAUAAUGUAAACCCAGAGCAUAAUAUUUUCACAAAUUUUGGUUUAAAGCUCCCGCUUGUAGUGUUAAGCCAGUUCAAGUAAGAAAACAAAUGGUGCUUUUGGCCCCUUGAGUUCCUCCUUGAUCUGUUGUAGGUGUUCCAACUUCCAAGAUUUCUCCUAGUGGUUUCUGCUGCCUAGAUCUGUUGUAGGUGUUCCAACUUCCACGAUUUAUUCCAUUAGAGGAGCUUGUUCACAGGCCUCGUGUCAUGCUGGAGUUUAUAGUCCACCCAUUCAGAACGGAGGAAGACUACCCUAGUGGACUCGAUGUGUACCUUGUGAUUACUUGCUAGAAACGAGAUUCGUUUUUUUUGUGGGUAGCUAGAAACGAGAUUCGUUUUUUUUGUUGUUAUCUACCUGUUAUCUCCUUUCCUCACUUACAUUGUCCUUUUCUCGAACUGCUCCUACAAAUUGUUGUGUUCUUUUUUUAAUUUUGUUCACUUUUUUGUCUCCAUAUUGAUGAAGAUAUAUACAGCUUCCAUGCGUAUAUAUUCAUACAGUAGGUUAAUCAUGACAAUUGAUAGAUGCAGAGCGGACAGUUUUAUAACAUGCAUCUUUUUCGUCUUCUUAUUGGUUAACAUAUACUGUAUACAGCUUUCAUGUAUUUUUGUCUCAUAUGUACGUUUUUUCUCAGAAGGUGAUAAUUGGCAGUUAAAUAGUCCUUUGUCCAUUUUCUAACAUAAUAACGAUUUUCUCUUCGCAGAGAAGGUAAUACUUGAAUAAUUAUCAAGUGAGUUAUGAUCGAGACAAUUCUAGCAGGCUUCACCAAAGAUGUUGUCAAGUCACUUGGCAAAUUAGCCACUGACGAACUGUCCAAAGUACUGUAUGUAAAAAAUGAGAUCGAAAAACUUAAGAGUAAACUUGAGCAUAUCACGACUAUCAUCAUGGAUGCAGAGCAGACAAUUGUACAACAUGCAGCCACCAGGGAUUGGCUGAAGAAACUGAGAGAAAUUACUUAUGAGGCAGAAAACAUAAUUGACCGCUGUAGGAUUGAAGCCGAUAGACCCCAAUCACAACCACAGGUCAGGGGAAAAUGAAUCCUUAACUUGUUUCCUUUUUGUACUUCCAGGGAUAAAUUACGAUUUCUACUAUCUCCGAUCCAAAAUAAGUGGCGCAGUUUUGAACUAGGGUUGAACUAGACUUAGUUCAAACCUGAGACACUUGUUUUGGAUCGGAGGGAGUAUUAUUUUGCCUUUUUUAUUUGAGGAUUUGAUUUGUAUUCAGUGUCCAUAGAGAUUUAUUUACACCUACUCUCAUCGAAGGUCAAUGAUUGUCCAAAAUAUUUGACCUGAAUAUCCUUAGAUUUGAGGCUUCAUCCUAGAAUUCAUCGCUAUCAGCUGAACCUCUAACAUGUUAUAUAUGUUCAGACCAGUAACCACAGCUUAAAGAUGUGAUUAGAGGUAUUGAACAUUCUUCGGAGCAUCUCAGUCCUUUUAGUAGUACCUUACCUGUCACCACAAUAAGUGGAGAACAGAAACUGCAUGGCCCUGUUCAGUACAGACUCCUUUUGCCAGGUGGAAGCAACCUACUGUAGCAUUUCUCCUGAAACUUACACAUGCAGUACUUCCAGUAGUUCAACUUCUAUAACUUUUAUCAAGUCUAUGAAUGAUCACAUCAAGUGAAGUAGGAGACCACUUCAUUGGUUUGUCACAUGCUUGUCAAGUUGUAGUAUGCGUUGAGCCAUGAAAUGCCUAUUAGGUUGCUGGCAAGCCCCUGUAUUUUUGCCGAAAGAGCAUUCAUUUGAGCUGUUCCAACAAAAAUAUGUAUAAAAUGCAUCAACUGCUGAAGAAUAGAGGGAACAACUGUUGCUUGACUUCAGUGUAGGUAGUUCAACAAUAUGAAACUAGUGCUAGACUGAUAUAAUUUCAUAUCCUAAAUAUACCUUAGCAUAUCUAUAUGCUAGAGCAUCUGUAUGUGUGGCCACCUACUGUCAAGACUCAAGAGGCCAAUAAGUCCAAACAAGGUUAUCCUAGGAUUCUUUUUAUGUUUGUAGGAUAAGGAUCUUAGGAUCAUGGGACUAUUCUACCUCUAAUGUCAUGAUUAAUGAUGAAAAAGUCUGGACCACUAUAUUAGAUGUAACUAUGUUACUCUUACCUUUUAGUUAUUACAGUCUGCCAUAGGAUCAGGAUCAGAAUGAUAAGGUCCCGCAGUAUGGAUCAUCAUCGUGAAAAUCUUGGGCACAAGUAAAUAUGACCAAGAUGCCAUAUGAACUGUGAGAAUCAAUAUUAUCUGCUUAAUUUGUUUUACACAAAUAUUAUCCACCAUGAAGUAACUUAAUGUGCUUACUUUGCAAAUCCAGGUCUAAAUGAGUAAACUACACCACAUCGUUCAAAUGUGCAUUUUCUUGUUCUAUAUAUAUCUAGUAGUUGUGGAAAGGGAUUAAACCUUAUCUUUUGUGUACAGGAGUGCAAUCCUUCGUCAGCCUUCAAGUGUUGCAGAGAUGUUGCUAUUAACUACAAGAUUGCAAGCGAUAUACAUGAACUAAAUCAGAAACUGGAUAGCAUUAAAUCAGAAAGCAUGAUGCUCCAUCUAAAUCCAAGACUAGAAGAUAUCAGAUCAGAUGAUGUUGCUCCAGAUCUUGAUUCUGAUAUUGUAGGUCGAGAGGUAGAGAAUGACUGCAACAGUCUAAUCCAGCUGCUACAAAGAGAAAAUACUAUUAGCUGUCGUUUAUUUGCUAUAGUAGGAACUAUUGGAGUUGGCAAGACUACUCUUGCUCGAAAGGUAUACCAUAGGGCAGCAGCCAUGUUUGAGACCAGGUUAUGGGUUCAUGUCUCAAAAGACUUGAAGCAAAUGACAAUGUGGUCAGGUGGGAAGUAUACAAAAGCAGAGACUCCAGAGCAACAGGCAUUAUUGCGCACAUGUUUAGAAGGUAAGAAAUUUGUGCUGGUCAUUGAUGAUGUGUGGGGAGAGGAUGUUUGGGAUGGGCUGUUAGAGGUACAAGCACAACAUGGCACCACUGGCAGCAGAGUCCUUAUAACAACCCGAGAUGAGCGUGUUGCUAGGAGGAUGGGGGCUAUUCAUCUUUACCGUGUGAAGUGCCUGAAUGAGGAUGAUGGUUGGUGGUUGCUUCGUACAAAGUCUUUGCUUAACGAGAACACUGGCAACAUGCAAGAUGUUGGAAGACGGAUCGUCCAGAAGUGUAAUGGACUUCCAAUGGCAAUAAGGAGAAUUGGAUGCUAUCUAAGGGAUGUGGAGCCUCAAGAGAAUGACUGGGAGAGAGUCUACUCGAGCAAUUUCUGUGGGAUUUCUAGGAGGAUUCGAAGUACUAUUAAUAUGAGCUAUCUGGAGUUGCCAUAUUACCUGAAGAGGUGUUUUAUAUAUUGUGCUCUGUAUCGAGAGGGAUUUGUGAUCAACCGGCAGUGUAUCACCCGCCAGUGGAUUGCUGAGGGGUUCAUUGUGACCACACAGAACUCAACGCAGCCGCAAUCUACAACACUUGAAGAGGAAGCUGAGAAAUGUUAUGAGGAAUUGCUGGGAAGGGGCCUUCUUCUGCCUGAAAAUGAAGCUUGUGGUGCGGUGGGAGCAAAGAUGCCUCAUCUUUUCAGGUCGUUUGCACUUCUUCAGUCACAAAAUGAGAACUUCACUGGCAAUCCUGAAGAUAUAGGUGAUGUUUUUAAACCAUGUCGCUUAUCCAUCACAAAUGCAAGUGCAGAAGCCAUCCGGAACGGAAUUAAAAAGCUUAAGAGCUUGAGGACAAUUCUCCUGUUUGGGAGUUCACUAAAUGAAAAGUCCAUGAAUGAUAUUUUCCAGAAGUUCACACACAUAAGAGUUCUGGACCUUGGAAAUACACAUAUUGAGUGUGUUACUGUAAGUUUAGGACGGAUGGCACACCUUAGAUAUCUUAGCUUUGCUAAUACUCAAGUUAGAGAAAUUCCUGGUACUAUUGAGAAUCUGAGGAUGCUGCAGUUCUUAAUUCUGAAGAAUUGUGUUCAUCUCAAUGCCCUCCCUGAAUCUGUUGGCCGCCUAAUAAAUUUGAGAAGCCUUGACAUCUCAGGAGCUGGACUAAAUUGUGUGCCAUUCCGAUUCUCCAAGAUGAAAGAACUCAACUGCUUACAGGGUUUUCUUGUAAGGUCAGCUGGUGCACAAAAUAAAAGUGGCUGGAAGUUUCAAGAACUGAGCUCCUUAACUAAGCUGACAAGCCUCCAGAUACUGAGGCUAGAGAGAACACCCAAUGGGGAACAUGCAAGACAAUCAGCACUGGAGGGGAAGUGUCAUCUCAAAGUGCUUGAGUUAAGCUGCAGCACUGAUGACCAACCAGUGGAGAUUAGUAGAGCUGAGAAUAUUAAAGAUGUUUUUGAUGCACUGAAGCCAGGACCUUCUGUUGUCUCUGUCAAGCUGGUAAAUUAUUAUGGACAUGGAUUUCCAUCUUGGUUAUCUCCGUCUGAUCUACCACUGCUGCAGCGGCUGACCCUUGAUGGCUGCCUGUAUUGCCAAUGUUUACCAUCUCUGGGACAGAUGAAGAAUUUGAAGUUCCUUGCGAUAGUUGGUUCCAAUUUGUCAUCUACCAUUGGCCCUGAGUUCCGUGGGACACCAGAAAACGGGGUGGCUUUUCCGAAGCUAGAGCAGUUGAUCAUCAGUAAGAUGAGCAACUUGAAGUCAUGGUGGGGCCUUGAAGGAGGAGAUAUGCCUUCACUCAUAAAUCUCAGGCUUGAUGGAUGCUCCAAGCUGGAUUCACUUCCCCACUGGCUCGAGCAUUGCAUGGCAUUGACAAGCUUACAGAUAGAUCAUGCCGAUAGCCUGGAAGUUAUUGAGAGCUUACCUGCACUUAAACAACUUAGAGUUCAGAGGAACAAAAAGCUGACAAGGAUCUCAAACCUCAAAAGGCUUGAAGAUUUGCAAGUUUUGCAUUGCUUGCUUCUGAAACAUGUACAAGGUGUCCCGUCGUUACACAAGGUUCAUUUAGAUGAAAGAAAUUCAACUGAACUUCCACAUUGGCUCCAUCCACAACCACAAGAACCAUUCAUCCUCAGGAGAUUGGAGAUUGUUGGCGCUGAAGAGCUACUUGACAGAUGCUCAUCUGCUAGUAGCCAAUACUGGUCUGUCAUCCAAAAUGCUGAUCAUGUAUAUGCAAACCUGCCGGAUGGUGCCUUCUACUUCUCCUUCACCAAAAGUACCAGCUACUUCCAUAGGAGUGCGAGGUCCCUUGCACAAUCUUCUUUAUACAUAUCACCUAGCUUCACUAUGCCUGCUGUUCCCAAAGAAGCCGGUGAUGUUAUCUUGUUGGAUGGAACUAAAAACAGCAUCAUGCAGGGCAGCCAAUCUACAAGUCAGUCAUGGGUGCGGACUCAACUUUUCACAUUUCUACUAUUUAUUGCCACCAUUUUGAUGUACCUCAUUUUGUUGGGGAAAUACAUCUAAUACACACAUAAAUUUCUGUUGGGACCUUUUGAUAUAUUUUUAUUUUUUAACCAGUCAUAUACUCGCAUUGUUUUGUAUACUUGUGAAUACUCGUAUUGUCUUGUAAUCUUGUCAAUGGCCAGUUACUUGAGAAAUGUAGUUGUAGUUGUACCUAUUUCUUGAGAAAUGUAGUUGGUUAAAGGAAUAUAUAUAGUUAAAAAAUACUACCUCCGUUCCAUAAUUUUUGUCUCAAAUUUGCCUAAAAAUGGAUGUAUCUAUUCUUAAAAGGUGUCUAGAUACACGUAAGAUUUCGACAAGAAUUAUGGAACGGAGGGAGUAUUAAACAACUAUUGAGUUUACUUACCAAGAAAUGAAAUGUAAACAUAAUUGUAACACUAUAGUUGAACUUAAACAUACCGCACAGGUUAACAAAUCUAUAUUUUUAAUACGUUAACAUUUCUUGCACAAAGUAAAAUUUACUUGUUGAAAUCACCUACGGUUUUACAGAUGAAGACACAAAUAUUUGGAAGAGAGAAGUCAUACCAGUUUUGCACAGAUAUGACGGCCCCCAAUGGGUUUUUUUAGAGACUGCGUGAGGUUUCUUUACGAGCAUUACAACAUCUCUAGUAGAUCCCUUGUAUAGUCCUGGCCCGUAAACUUUAAAGGUUUUGGUGAAAAAGGUGAUCGAACAAAUCCCUUUAAACAGCUCGGCCUGUAUAAAUUUUUAUGGACCACCAGAAAUCGGUCCUCCCACACGAUAUAUCUAGGGCUCUGUGGGCGAUUUAUGGUGCUUCAUUUGCGCCGCCUCCUCCACGCAUCCGCCACCCCCUAUUGCCUCCAGCCACCGCUCCCACCUAAUCCGACAACCCCGCGAAUCAAGGCGGGGCAAGGCCUGGGAGCUCGCUUCGCGUUGCAACGCUUCCGGGGAGUGGGAGUCGAGCAAUCAUUCGUAGCCGAUAGGUCCGCUCGGAGGGCGCGCGGAAACAAAGAUUUGCUUAUUUAGGUCAUUUGUUUCCUUUAAAAAAUAAGUCCCAUGUACAUAUAUUUAGGUGAUAUCUAUACGAAUUUUUUCAUUCCUCUAGCAGUAAAUAAAUUAGUUACAGAUUAGUUGAUUUGAAAUCGCACAAAAUAAUUUUCUAAACUAGGGUAUAAUGACCUGGAGCUAAUAUCUUUAGAUAUUUAUACGGUUUUCCAUCUCAUAAAUUUAUGACUAGACGAAUAAUAAAACGUGGAUGUUUUCAAGAUAAAAAAAAAUGAUUGCAUGCAUAUAUGAAGCAUUAGAGAAGCUUUUUCUAAUAUAGAUAAAAUGGACGCAACUCCACCAACCAAGGUUUUUUCAAAUCCCGGUGCUCACAUUUACAGUGCAAGGGUCUGCCUUAUAGUAAUGAUAUUUCUUAUAUAUAUGUUAGUAGUAAAACUUAGACUACUCGCAAAAAAAUAAUAAUAAAACGUAGACAAAUUCUGACUAUAGUUGUAUUAACAUCAUGUAUUUCUGAGGGGAGGUAGAGUAGAGAAAAUCAACAAAAGCCACAGAUCUUAAUUAGAAUAUAUGCAAUUCGAUAACAUCACGUUAGGUGACCUACUUUUGUUAUUUGAAAUUAGUAUGCAGCUUUGUGUAAUUUACAUCUGAACAACUUUAACGUUGUAGAUGUGACUUGUUUGAUAUAAUAUGAAUAAAGUCCUGAGUUUAAAAAAAAAAACGGUAUGCAGCUGCAAAGUGAGGUAAACACACCCGCGGUACUACUAUUAUUGAGUUGGUGUCAUUUUAGUCCUAAUUAUGAAAUUGCACACUUAGGUUCUAAUUUUAUUUGAAGUGGCUCACGCGAGGUCUUAAACUGGUUCUGGCACGUUCGAUCCGCUUACGUGGCUUGCUGAACCUGUACACAUCGGCAAGCAGGCCCACAGACGAUAACCAAUGGCAAUGUAAUUUAACAAAAAAACCUCGCGGAAGGGCCAUCUCUCUUAUUUCUCCCCUCGUUUUCCUUCUGUGAGGUUUUUUUUGGCUAAAUUACAUUGUCAUUGGUUAUAGUAUGUGGGCCCCAUUGCUGACGUGUACCGAGUCAACAAGCCACGUAGGUGGGUCAAACGUGCCUGAACUCCUGUGAGCCGCUUAAAAUAAAAUUUGGACCAAAAUGUGCAAUUUUAUAAUUUUAGGAGUAAAGUGACACCAACUCGAUUACAGUAGGACUGCGGGUGCAUUUAUCUUCUCAGUAUCUGCCGGAAGCUGAGCCCACCUAUCUUCAAAUGGAACAUGGCCGUUGGCGGCACCGACGUUCAGGAGGCUGCCUCUACACGUUACUCCCUCCAUUCCACAAUACAACGUGUAUAGAUUUUUCUUAUUUGUUUCACAAUACACUUCAUUUUUCUCUUGGUACUCGCACGUGGCCAAUAACUACUUACAUCUAUUUAUUAUUAACCCAAUAUGAGUGGUCAGGCACGAAAAACAAGAACUGCCUUGGUUCAAGUGCACAAAUCUAUACACGAUGUAUCGUGGAACGGAGGGAGUACUACAUUAGGCCUCCAGAUCCUAGCCUACAGAUUUUAUCAGACCUGCUCUUCUUUCUUUUUGCAUCCUUUGUAAUUUUGUGUAGCUCAGGUUGGAUUUGUCUUCUUAGGUUUCUCUUUGAUUUUGGUUUUCGCUCAGCUCUGUAAUUUUUUGUGCAUUUUUAGUGAUUUUUCGACACGUGUUUUUAUAUGCGUUUUUGAGAAAAAAAUAUUGCAAUCAAUGGUAAUAAGCAUCAGAACACCUAUUACGACUUUGUAGAAGUUCGUAACCAACUCGAAGAUGAAUACUUGCUAAAAAAAACCAAUUUCGAAGAUGAAUGCACAGAUUGUUUCAUGGUCCAGUAAAGAAGGCACAAAGAAAAUUGAUGCCCUUUAAUUAAAAUUGCACAAGUUCAGAUACAUUUCAUGACCAGCUAAUCUGCAUCACUCAAGUGAAUAUACAUUACACAUAUUUACAGGAAGUAGGACGGAUCUAAGUCCAAUCUAACUGAAUAGCUGCUUGUCCAGAAAAUGUAUUUCCCAGAUAAGAUAUUUCAACGGUUCCUUUCCCUACGCACACAUAAUGUAGCACACCAAAUUACAGAAGAAUGCCUCCAGUUGUACCCUAUGCAGCAUUAUGUAGCAACAGCAGAGCAUCGUUCACCAGUUUCUGUCUUAAAUAUUUUCAAGAUAUUCAUGACUUCAUUUCCCCUGUUCUCUUUCACUUUGUCCUAAUUUUGACAAGACAACCAUCAGUCGAGAAAUACAAGAAACAGCAAGAGGACUGUUGCAAAGAAGGUGAUUAGGGUCUGGAUAAGCCAAAUCUCUCUAGUCGUCUUAUUCUGGAGCGAAUAGGAAACCACCUGCAUAACAAACAUAACCACCACAAGGUAGGGAACAAGGUACCGUCGAAUAAUCCUCUUGAACGUGGAUGUUUGGUUGACAGGUACUACAGGCACACCAAUUCGACCCACCAUGUCAGCAGAAUUACCAAGUGAAAUGGUCAGGGCUUCAUGCACAUUUCCAACUGCUAUUGAAACAGGUGGCUUGCUAUGUUCUAUGAUUCUUUGAUCAACAUGGAAAUCCGCAGUGUCCUUUGUGUAAGUGAAGAAUGGAGAUUCAUCAGGUAAGUUUGCGUAAACUUUAUUGAUGUCACGGAUGAUUCCCCAGUCUUGACCAUUGGGAAGUAGUCUUUCAAGUAGCUCUGCUGAACCAACUACAGUGAAAGUUUGCAACACCGAGGCACAACUUCUCAACCAUUCUGGUAAUCUUCUUAGUUCUCUAUCUUCGAUGCGGGCAUGCCUCAGAUAGUGGACUUCAUUGACAUCCUUUAAUCUAGAGCAACUGAUGACUAUUAGGGCUUCAAGUAAUACAAGAUUUGAGAUUUCCGUAAGUUCGUUGCAGGCUUGGAGAACCAAUUCUUUGAGCACAGGCAAGUCCUCAACGACUUCCAGACUGUCAGCAUAGUGUAUAUGCAUGCUUGACAGGACUUUGGAGUACUUGAUGCCAGAUGGGAGGUACCUCAACUUGGGACACCUGUCCAGACGAACUUUCACAAGGGAUGGCAUAUCACUAGAUAAAAAUCCUACCCAUGAUUCAAGAUUCUGCAUGUCUUUAAGGUGCAACUGCUCUAGCUUAGGAAAUGCCUGAUUGCCAGUUGUUCGAUCUUGCUCAAUUGUAAGUAACUUGGAAAAACCAGUUAUAGUGAGGAACUUUAGUUCAGUUAGCUGGCCCAGGUCUGGCAGACGCUCACAGAAUUUACAAUCAGAAAUAACAAGCCGCUGGAGGUUUGAGAGAUUAGGCAACCAAUCAGGGCAAAGUUUUGCGUAGUAGCUCACCAUUUUGAGAGAUUUUAAACAUUGCGGAGGACAAAAGCAAUCAAAUGUGUCUUUUAUUGUUCUAGCAUCAUCCUCUCGUACUUCGGCCUGUCUAUCAUCAGUGCUACAACGUAGUUCAAGCUCCUUAAGGUGCGACUUCUUAUCCAGCAUGGCUUUUUGCAUCCUCAAACAAUCUGUUACUCUUUCCAUCCUCAGUAUCUGCAGACUCCUCAAUGCAUUUAGAGAACCCAGGUCUUCCAAAGGCCACCCACUAGGAUCAUCAUCACGGUUGGGUGUACAGUUUACUAUAAAACCAUGUAGUGUGGAGAGCAGCUUAAGAUUUUCCAAACAUGGUAGAACUUGAUGUAAGUUAGUUCCUCGAAGGUCGAGACUUCGCAAACUCUGCAGCUUGCCAAUCCCUUUUGGAAGAGUGUGCAGACAAUUGCAGUACCGGAGACCCAAGAACUGUAAAUUUCUGAGACACUCAAUGGACUCUGGAAGCUCAGUAAUCCGGGUUAGGGAAAGAUUAAGGAGCCUGAGGUGAAGUAGAAAUUUUAGUGACGUUGGAAUGUACUUAAUUUCAGUACCACCAAGGUCCAACACUUGCAAAUAUUUGAGCCCCUUAAAGAGCUUGUCUAAGCCAUGAUUGCCCACUGGGUUCUUGUAGAGAAUAACUGUCUUCAAGCUGGCCACAGCUACUAUUUCAUCCAAGGUUGUAGUUGGUUUGUUGCUUCUAAUCCACACUUGUCGCAGCCCUUCACUGGAAGUUCCAUUGACACUAGGCUUCAGGUCCCCAGAGAAAACUUUAUCUUCUGCAAAGAACUGCAAAAAUGAUCUGAUUUUUUCAUGCAUUGUGCAUCUUGUCAUGUCAUGGUUCCCAAUUUCAGGCUUCAGAAGAUUUCUUGAUACCAACUCCAUGUAAUACUCCUCUGCAAUCCUUUCGGGGUUGCAGUUAUCUUGUUCCUCAAUGAAACCCUCUGAAACCCACAGUUGACAAACAAACUGCUGCCUCAUAACAGAUCCUUCAGGGAACAGUGAUAAAUAAAUUAGACAUUGCUUCAGAUGUGAUGGUAAAUCAUGGUAGCCCACAUAGAUGGCCCCAGUUAAGCCAUCAACAGAAUCAUGAAGGUCCCUGAAAGACCACCCUUUGCUUUCAUACACUUGCUGCCAGGCCUCUUUGUUCUGCUCCUUUGUUCUUAGGACAGCGGCUAUAAUCUUAAUAGCCAUUGGAAUCCUGUUACACUUUUGGAUAAUCAUUAUUCCAGUAUUCCUUAAAGUGUUGCCAUGAAGGCUCUGAUCAUGACACGCAUUACGGCAAAGUAAGGACCAACAAUCCUGAAAUGCUAAUUCUUUCAUUUGGUAGAUGUAAGCAUAAGCAGACUUCAUUUUUGUUGCGACACUCCCAUCCUGAGUGGUGAUCAAAAUUCGGCUUCCGUGACCGAAAACAUGCCAAUGAGCAUCAAGGGAGUUCUCAAAAACAUGAUGACCGUAUAAGCCGUCAAGCACCAGUAAGAAUCUCUUUCCCUUUAGCAUAGCAGCCAAGAUUGCCUCAAGUUGCAUUCUGUCUGUUGCUCCUCUGGGAUUUCCACCGGCGGCACUAACAAUUGCAGACAGUAGGCCAAUACCAUCAAAAUCAUUGAAAACACUAACCCAUGCGAUCAUGCUAAAAGCAUUUCUUGUGCGGUGAUCAUUAUGCAUUUCCCAUGCCAAUUUAGUUUUGCCCAUUCCACUGUCCCCAAGGAUGCUGACAACAAUAUUAGCACUUUGCCUGUCUGUCAGUAUGUCAAUCAAUCUAUUCUUUUUGUUUUCAAUGUCACCAACUGUAUCAUCAUUCAAUACCACUUCUGCAGUGAAUUCAGAUCUUCCAUUCAGGAUUUCCUGGUUGCCUGAUAGAAGCCCAAGCUCUGAGCCCUUGUUCAAAAUUGCAUCAAAUAUCUUAUUCAGGCUGGUGAUACUGGUCCUCAAAGUUUUGUCCCGGAUCCCGUUGACAGUUGGUGGCAACAUAAACCAGUGGCGAAACUGCACACAUGAAGAUUUUAUUUCUAGUUAUUGACUCACAGAAAACUCGUAGAAAAUGCUAAUAUUUCAUAUCUGUGUAUACAUGUAAAUGUUGCAAUAAAAAAAGGCCAUCAUGAGAUAUUGGUUUCAGAAUGAGCAGCAAUGCCAUUGACAUGAACUGCUUAAGAAGUCCAUAUGCACCUAAAAGAUCGCUAUAGAAACAGUGCCCGCAGUUUCUGUUCGCACUCAUGCCCUAUCAGCAUUGAAGAAAUUUUUUUGGAAAUGAAUCAGCAUGAAUGAAUAGUGAAAAUUGAUGAGCAAGAGUAGCUAAUGAAGUAUGAAUCUAGUGCACAUUGUGUAUGCGCUCAUAUUUGUGUUGGACAGUCCGCAAAAUCUGCAUGUUCUGUAAAGCAAACCAUGUCUAUGUGCGCAAGUCAACCAUGACGGGGAUCCAAGAGCGGGCAGAACGCAUACCGAUCUCCGGGACUCCAGCCGCCGCCCUGAGGGGGCCGCGCGGCGAAAGUCUGCGUCGGCGUCGCCAAGCUCGUACAGGGCAUCCCGGAGCUCCCGCAGCCAAGCCCUGGAGCUGGCGUCGCGUCCCUCCCUCGCCUCGGCGUCGGGCGCGAGGCCCGCCGCGUCGUCGAGCUUCCGCCGGAGCCGCCGCAGCUCCUCUGCGGCUCCGGGCGCGCCGUCCGCGAGGAGGCCGUCGACCGAGCGAACGGCGGCCGGCAGCAUCGCGGUCGCGAGCAUGGUCGCUUCCUUCUCCUGCUCAACGCGUCGGAGGAGGAAACGAAGACGAUUUGGCGUAACAACUAACAGUCUAACACCACGAGGCCAGGUCGUGGCCUUCGUCAGCUAUUGAUCAAUUUCGAUUAGAAAAUAGCCUGUGGAUUCAGUUAGAAGUCAAUCGAUCCCGGGCAAUUAAUUACUACUCUGUACUCGUAAAAAUGAAGAAAUUUCCUGAGUAGAACAACCACGGAAUUUACCCAAAUAAUCCAUUAAUAAUUCAUAUAAUAACUACAUCAAGAACAGCACUAAGACUAAUCAAAACAGCUACGAAUCCAGUGGCCAAUCCACGCUAAGAAUCGGCCACGUUACAUCAAGAACAGCACUAACACUACGGUAAAAUCAGCUACGAAUUCAGUAACCAAUUCACGCUAAGAAUCGGCCACUUUACAAUCGACAUUGAUGCCUACUACAUCUGACACUAACCCAGUGACCAAUUCACACUAAAGAAUCGGCCACGCUACAACUGAUCUUGAAUCUGACCAAUUCACUAACGCUAUCCUUCAAAUUUCAAUCCUUCGUUCUUCAGUAGCCACACCAGACGAAGUAGGGGCACAGGGCUCCCAUGGCGGGCGUCCAGUUGCCGCACCCCAUGAAGCACUUCCCCUGCAUCGGCCCUGGCACCGCCACCAUGCCUUCUCUGCUGGCCACUCCACAGUAGCACAAGCACGCAUCAGCGGCGCCAUUGCACGGACUCACCUUAGGCUUCUUUUGCUGCUGCGGGGGCGGCGGCGCCAGCGAGCCGGUUAUGCAGAGCUUGACGCCACGAUGCAUAACCGCGACAAGAAGCCGCGCCGUGUUGCGCGCAUCAUCGAGCCCGCAGUGGAGGCGGCCCUCCCACUCCAGCCCCGCCUUCUUGACCGCAUCUUGGAGAUUGAUCCGGCCUCCGCCGCCGAAAGCGGCCUCGAAGGGCACCCUGAGGUUGAUCCAGCGGUCAAAGUAGGGAGGUUUGGCGAUCCCCUUGAACCGGCAUUCCGAUUCCAGCAUGGUGCGGCAAUCCCAGUCUCCCCAAGUCAACACGGCAAAGCUGCCGCAUUUCUUGGCCCAUGGCCUCCCCGCCAUCGCCGCCUCCAGCCAAGCGUCGUGCAGACGCAGCGCCUCGGCAAGAUCCACACCGCCGUCGACGUCCGCCUGCUGGAUUCCGGUGAGGUCCCUGCAAAACUGGGUUAGCACAGGGUGGUGUCGCGGACGGACGUACCUGCGGAACGCGGAUUCGAGGCGGCCGGUGGCGCCGUCGACGAGCACGGACGGGAAUUCGAUGAUCUCCUGCGGAUAGAUCCGCGCGUCUUUCUUGCAGGUCGCCUCGAAAUCGAUCACCACGAGGUAGUCGAACUCUAGCAGAUUCUGCGCCUGCUCUCUGCCCCCGCCGCCGCCCGACGCCGUGAACGGCGCCCUAGAGGCCGACAUUGGUUCAAGAGGAGGGGAUUCGAUUGGCACGAGGAUAUGAUCAGAUAUCGAAUCGGGAUUGGCACGAGGAGACGACGGGAUUGAGAAGUAGGCUUUAUCAGUUUGGGCCGGACGCGUUUUGCAGCUGUUAUCCUAAGUGGGCUCUAUCUUUAAUCGGUUUCAUCCGUCAUAUCCAAAUUUAAAUUCCCCUAAAAAAAUCUGAAUUUAAAUAAGUAUCGCAUUGGAUUUAACAAAACUAAUUUAAAAUUUUAUAUUUGUGGAUAUUAAUUUUUUACAAAAGAUCAGCUUUUAAAAAAUUGACUUCAGACAAAACCAAAACUUCUUACAUUUAGAAACGGAUCUAGUACUUAUUUAUCUUGGGUGAAUUCUAUGUCUUAUCUCUCGGUAUGACGGUUGAUAAAAAUUAUCUCAUUUGCCGGCUUCUCAUUCUACUUUUGCAGGAAUCCAGCCACACCGUAGCAACAUCAGAACUUCGUGGUUGUAUUUGUUUGGGCUAUAACUCCACAACUGCAGCUUAGCGGUUGCCAACUGUGGCUGGAAUGUUGGAUCUUUAGAGCACCUUCAAUGCAAGGUGUUUAAGAUAGUGCUACAAAAUUAAACCAGUUUAUUCUCAAGCACCAAUGCUUAUUUCUAUACUAGAGGUGCCUAAUUAAGCACCUGUCCUAUAGAACACAAGCACCAGUGCUUAAACAAAAACCGGUUUAUUUUGUGCAAUCACCUCCCUAAGCACCUUGCAUUGAAGAUGCUCUUAUAAUGUUUGUUUUGCUUUGGUGACCGGUAGUUGUCGCUACACCUGAAAUGUACUAAAAUGUUCUAAAUACCUUUAUAAUUAUGGAAAUUAGGUUUAAGUAAUGUAAAGGGCACAUCUAAGACAUGUUUUUGUUGUACAAGACCAAUUUUCACUGGAUUUGAAAGUUUAACAAUGUAUAUGCAUGUACGUGGACAAAUUUCAUCAAAGAAUAGUACAACACAUUCACAUAUGCAUACACUAAUUCACAAUCACACGGCGGUCAAAAGAAAAAUCUCACAACCACACACAGAUUUUUAUACCGACUCUCGCACGUAUAUUUUUAUAUUAACUCACAUUGACGGAUUUUAAACACAUACACGAAUGCUGGAGUGCCAAUUACACGGUUACAUCACCAUUUUGCUCACGUCUCAGAGAAGAUGAAAAUGAACAGAGGGGAAGAGGACGUAGGAGCACACUACUACAAAACGGUCUAUAUCUCACGGCACAUCAGUAAAGGGUCCGGCGCGACCGUUACUGAUGAACAGAGCGGGGUCCGCCCGUCCCCGCCCAGCCAUACAUCAGUGACGGUCACGAGGACCCGUUACUGAUGAUUAACAUCAGUGUCGGUCGCUGCCGCGACCGUUACUGAUGAACAGAGCGGGGUCUGCCCGUCCCCGCCCAGCCAUAUAUCAGUGACGGUCGCAAGAGGCGACCGCCACUGAUGUACCAUCAUACCUCGCGAGAGACAUCAGUGGCGAUCGAGUAAGAGACGACCGUUCCUGAUGUACCAUACAUCAGUAACGGGCGGGCCGAGGCCUCCCGUUACUGAUAUGUACCACACAUCAGUGGCGGGCAUGCGGUCGACCUAACGUGCCCGGCACUGAUGUGUGAUACAUUAGUAACGGGCCGAACUAAAAUGACGGUUACUGAUGUAUCUCCUAUUAUCAGUAACGGUCGCCCAAAUCACGAACGCCACUGAUGAUUGACCGGGUUUAAGUGCGCGGGGCAGAGCCGCAGCUGGUCGUGCUGCGUGUCUUAACGGACCAGCUGCGGUCCUUCUUCCCCAGCGACGGCGAAGCGCUGCCGAAAUCGGCCGCCAUGGCCGCUGGCGACCCUAGGUAGCUCCUUCUCCUCCCUCUCCCUUCCUCCUCUCUCCCCCGGCCGGGGGCGCCCAUCUCCAUGGCCGGGAUGGCCCAUCUCCGGCGAGCUCCAAUCUUCGAGCCCGAAGCUUCCCUCUCCCUUGCGAGCUCUCUCUCCCUCCCGAUCUAUCUCGCCGGCCUCCAAUUUCUCUCCGAAGUUCCCCAAUUUCAAAUUUUUGAGUUCCGGCCGCCGGCCAAAAUGCGGCCUCCUCCUCGUCGCCCAGAGCUUCCCUCUCCCUUGCGAGCUCUCUCUCCCUCCCGAUCUUUCUCGCCGGCCUCCAAUUUCUCUCCGAUUGUCUCUAGUUUCAAAUUUUUAGUUAGCCCCGGUUAAUUAACACCUUAAUCCCCUUGUUAAUGAUUAGGCCGGCUAACUAUUUUGCUUUGUGUUUUCUUGUGUAUUGUGUUGUAGAUCGAAGGACCAUUCUUGGAUGUACGCCACGGAAAGAAUGAAUGCUCGAUGGAUAACCGAAUGGACGGUGUUUUUUGGAGUCGCGAAAGGUGAUAUGGAACGAAAAGGACUUGUGAUGAUGCGUUGUCCAUGUCGCAAAUGUGAAAAUACAUGCAUGAUGAAGUCUGAAGAUGUUCAAAUGCACGUGCUGGCAUCGGGUUUUGUGGAAGGUUAUUCUCGCUGGACUUGUCACGGGGAGGAUGCGGUUGAUGUCGGUAGCGGUAGCGAAGAUGAUGAUGUCCUGCGGUAUGAUCUGGCGAAUGAUUCCAAGCAAGAAACAAGGGUCGAUGAGGAGGCUAAUGUGGAAGGUGAAGGAGCUCCACGUGGCAGGAUUGCCAAAAUGCUAGAUGACCCGUACCUACGGGACCAGCUGGAGGACCCCGAAGAUGAGGCAGAGUCUGCUCAGUUCAAAAAAUUGUUGGAGGACGCAAACACACCCUUGUAUGAUGGAGCUGGCGAAGAAAACAACGUGUUUGAAGUGACGCUCGAACUUUUGAGGCUGAAGGCAGCAUCAUGCUGGUCAGACAAGUGCUUCACGAACUUGUUGAGUUACCUUGUUUCGGUUUUUUCACAGCCAAACAAGUUGCCCAAGAGCACAUACGAGGCGAAGAAGAUUACAUGCCCGCUUGGAUUAGAUUGCGUGAAACAUCAUUCAUGUCCAAACGACUGCAUGGUAUACAUUGAAGAGUACGAGAACCAUGAGAGCUGCCACAUAUGCAGUGCAUCGAGGUACAAGAAGAAAAACGCCAGAGCUGGCGAAGACGAUGGGGAAGAAGUGAUGAAGGGCAGGCCGGAAAAGACUGUCUAGUAUCUUACAGCAGGUGGCCGAGUUGAGCGUUGGAUGCAGAACGUUAAGGACGCGAGGUAUCUCAUCUAUCACGAUCCGGCGCAGGCUGCAUUCGAUUCUGACGGGCACUACCAUGUGCAGGAAGCUGGGGUCCUAAGACACCGUGCCGAUGGGACUCAGUGGAGGAACUUCAACACGGCAUUUCCAGAUUUCGGGGCAGAGCCCAGAAACCUGAGGCUCGGUCUCAACACUGAUGGGAUAAAGCCUUUCGAAAACAUGAACAACAAGCACAGCACAUGGCCAGUGAUCUUGUUUGUCUACAAUCUUCCUCCAUGGUUAAUCAUGAAGAGAAAGUACAUCCACAUGUGCAUGCUCAUACAGGGUCCAAAGCAGCCAGGAGCUGACCUAAAUGUAUAUC